GCUUUCCCGUGUAAAUAUUUUUUCUUUCUUCUUUGGGUCGUAAGGAGAAGACCACGAUGACAUGCUGAGUGGCUCUCAUAUUCAUUAGCGUUUAUCUAUCAGAGAGUCCACAUUAGCUCGUCUUCUCCUUUGAGUUAUUGCUUGCAGAUUCCAGCUUACUCCAAUGCACGAACACUCCUAUUAUUAUUUUUCACACCGUUUGGUCGUGCAAGUGAAACACAAUAAUGGCGAUAUAUGAUGAAGUGACUGAGAUGGAGAAAAGAUGGUAUGAACUCAACCUAUCUUGUUUUUAUAAAUAUGAUUAGCUCAUCGUUCUGGAUUCAGCUCAUUAUGGGUUGAACAUGUUUGCAAUGGCAAUUAGAUAUUAUAAUUACUUAUGCCAUGCUUAAUUAUCUAGGAGUGAAUAAUGGUUUGUCUUGAGUGCCAACAUACAUAUUAAAAUGGUUGUGAUGUAGUAUGAUAGAAUGGUAUCAUCCUCCGAAUGAUUCGAGUGGCUUGACUUGGCACAUGUUCAUGCAUGUAGUUAAAACAAAAUCAACAUAGCCUCUACGAUGUUUAUGUUCAUAGUGAUUUAUAUCCUACUCAUUCUUGCAUUCAAUGUUGGUUAAUCUCAAAGCAUGUUUAUGAUUGUUGUCGCUCUCUAGUUGGUCACUUCCGAGUCUUUUGCUAGCCUUCACUUGUACUAAGCGGGAAUACUGCUUGUGCAUCCAUCCUCAUAAACCCAAAAUUAUUCCAUAUGAGUCCAGCAUACCUACCUAUAUGCAGUAUUCACCUGCCUUCCUAAGUAAAUUUGCAUGUGCCAUACUCUAAACCUUCAAAUAAAUAUUCUGUUUUGUACGCUCGAAUCGCUGAUGUAGUGACUAGGGGCUAUCAGUAUCUUCCAUUCUAUGUGGGUUAUUCUCAAGAUAUGUGUUGAUUCACUAUCAUUCACGAGAAAGUGGCUGGUAAUCGGGAUGCCCAGUUCCAUGCUCAAAAUUCAAAACAAAUUUAAUGAAACAACACCCCCCCCCCAGGAUUGAUGUUUGUAUGGACGGUAUCCGUGGAUGAGGCUCGCCAUGGAAUGUGAUUGAUCGGUGGAGGGGGAGUAAAAACUUUACUAUUCUGUUUGGGAACCGCCUAUAAUGUAUUUAGCAUGGAAGAUAUCGAGAACUCGUAGUUGUUACAUUGACAAUGAAAGCAUACCACCCAAAAUUUUGAUUCAUCUCUGUUUUAAAAAGCUCGAGCUAUGGUACCUCUGCAAAUCAAUGUUUCCCUCUGCGAAGGGUCUAUCUAUUUUACUUUACUGUUGAGUCAUCCUCUUCUUAUAAAAAGGCACCAGUUAGAGAGAGCCCCUCUCAUUUGUAUUCUUUGUUAUUAAUUGAUAUUGAGUAUGAUUAUGACUGGAUCUCUUUUACCAUGAAUUACAAUGUCUAGUCAGUACUUGUUCUUUGAAGGUGCUCUGCAUUUAUGUUUUGCGGUCUCAGAAAGGACUAGUGAGAUACGAGUUUAUCAUAUUGUAUUACGAUUGUUUUGAUAAAUUGUUGUCAUCCGAGACUUAUUAUUAUUUCUCGCUAGUUGAUUAUACCAUUGAUAUAAGUAAACAUGAGACCUAAGUAUUAUUGUGAAUGUGGUUAGUCCAUAACCUGAGCUAAAAAUCUGAACAUUAGUUAGACAUAUUUAUAACAACAAGAUCAAACAGAGUUUGUAAAACUUUUCUUUAUCACUUUCAGUUUAUCAACUGAAUUUCUUGAGGACAAGCAAAGGUUUAAGCUUGGGGGAGUUGAUACGUCUCCAACGUAUCUACUUUUCCAAAUUCUUUUGCCCUUGUUUUGGACUCUAGUUUGCAUGAUUGUAAUGGAACUAACCAGGACUGACGCAAUUUUCAGCAGAAUUGCCUUGGUGUUAUUUUUGUGCAGAAAUGAAAGUUCUUUAAUUGACCUAAAAAUUUACGGAGAGUAUCUCUGGAUUUAAUCAAAAUACCGGCGAAAUAAUCUACCGGAGAGGGGCCACCCGCAGGCCACAAGCCUGCACGCCCCCUCCCCCCUAGGCCCCGCCCAAGUCUUUUCCACUCCUAUAUAUUUCCAUCUGAGGAGAAAAAUAUCAAGGAGAAUAAAUCAUCAUGUUUUAUGAUACGGAGCCAUCGCCACCUCGUGUUCUUCCUUGGGAGGGCAGAUCUGCACUCUGAUUAUUUGGGCUCCAGAGAGGGGAAAUCGACGCCGUCAUCAUCACCAACCAUCCUUCAUCACCAAUUUCAUGAUGCUCCACAUCAUUCAUGAGCUAGUAUUGUUAGGGUUUGAUCUCUAGUAUCCACUAUGUUCUGCAAUUGGUGUUGCUCUGACUCUGCUAUGCUUAAUGCUUGUCACUAGGGCCCGAGUGCCAUGAUUUCAGAUCUGAACCUAUUAUGUUUUCAUGAAUAUAUAUGUGUUUUUGAUCCUAUCUUGCAAGUUAUAGACACCUAUUACGAGUUAUGAUUCGCAUCCCCCAGGGUGACUAUAACUGGGAUUCUUUUCGGUGAUUACCGUAGUUUGAGGAGUUCAUUUAUUCACUAAGUGCUAAUGCUUUGGUCUGGUUCUCUAUUAAAAGGAGGCCUUAAUAUCCCUUAGUUUGCAUUAGGAUCCUGCUGCCACAGGAGGGUAGGACAAAAGAUGUCAUGCAAGUUCUUUUCCAUAAGCACGUAUGACUAUAUAUGGAAUACCUGCCUACAUUACAUUGAUAAAUUGGAGCUAGUUAUGUAUCACCCUAUGUUGUGACUGUUGCAUGAUAAUGCCAUCCCACAUAAUUAUCCAUCACUGAUCCAUUGCCUACGAGCUUUCCACAUAUUGGUAUUUGCUAAGUUACUUUUUCACUGCUAUUGUUAUGAUCACUACAAAACUGCUACUGUUACGUUUGUCACCGUUACCGCUACUUCCAUACUACUUUGCUACUAAAUACUUUGUUGCAGAUAUUAAGUCUUUCAGGUGUGGUUGAAUUGACAACUCAGCUUCUAAUACUCGAGAAUAUUCUUUGGCUCCCUUUGUGUCGAAUCAAUAAAUUUGGAUUGAAUACUCUACCCUCGAAAGCUGUUGCGAUCCCCUAUACUUGUGGGUUAUCAAGACAGCCUUUGCAAACAAAGUACACUAUGUCAGUAAAACUAAAAUCACUUAACUCGCAGAAUUUUCAUACACUAAUUUUGAGUUUGCUUUUGUACUGGUUGAGUUAACUGACAGCAAGUAACAACAACAAAGAGAAAAGGAGCAAUACUCUUAUUCAGGUAACAAUACUUUCAUAAGAAAAUCAACUUCACUAAUUUUCAGUUAACAAAAAAUUCCUCAGACCCACACUUACAUUGCUCCUAAAUGAGCUUCACUUAACAAUACUUGAUUUUCAACAGGAGUAUGAACCAAAGGAGCUAACUACUGUACAAUUUUCAGUUAAAUGUACAUGUACCUUCUUCAUAGAGUAGAGGAGCAAUAGCAAUAGUAGCACGACACAGUGAGUUGGAUUAGUAUUGUUUUGAUCAGAUGUAGAGGAGCAGCAGCAACACGGGCAGUGAAGCAAAAGCAGAACAUGCAGUGGAGAAGAAGCAGCACGGGUAGAGCUCCACCGGCGGCAGGGAUAAGUAGAGGAGAAUUAGAAGCGCGGGCGCAUGGGCAGAGAAGAAGGAGCAGCACGAUGGCGCACAAAGACACUCGCGCGAGCUCCUUUUCCAACAUAUCAUGGAGGCCAUGCAGAUCUCGAGAAAGACUCGUGAGAGAUAGAGGAGAAGAGCGCGAGCUCCUGGUCCAGCAGAUUGUGGAGGCCAGUUCCGGCAAUGCCCGUAGGUGAUCACGUGGGAGGGAUCAUGGCGCACACGAGGCAGCUCAAGGAGGGCUAGCGGGAGCUCGAGGAGGAUGAGUGGGAACUCAUGCUCCACUGGGUCGUGGUGGGAAAUUCCGGCAACACCCACAAGUAAUCACAGCGGGAGGGAAUCACGGUGGCGCAGGUCUGAGCAGUGGUGGCGGAGUAGGUACUUGGCGACGACGGUUACAGGGCAGAUACGUGGUGACGGAGGUGGAGCACUUCGUGGAUGGUGUAAAAUCACACAGCUUGGCGCCGCUCUCCCCUCGUGACGCGCGGGCUACAAUGAAGGAAGAAGACGGGGUGAAGCGACUUGUUUGUGACGGUUUGAAACUGUGAGUUUUUUUUUGCAAAAUUAGCAUUGAACUGCGCUCGCGACAAGAAUUACGAGACGGGGGGAGUAUUAGAGUAGUACACCUACUUAGAAGGAGCAAUACAUUCGGAAAUGAACAAAAGUGUGCGCGCACUUAUUAGAGAGAACGAGCAGCCACCUUGCCACUCACAUGCAUAUGUACUUUUUUUGUUUGUUAGUGCAUGUGGUUGUUUGCAUUACAUGUGGUCAGAAUUGACAUGUCGGAAGGAAAACGACGAAUUCCUUGUGUAUUUAUUCUGGAUUUUUAACUUUUUAAAAAUCCAUAUCUUUCAAACCGCGCCUCAAAAUUCAGAUCCGUCUUUGUUAUUGGAUUCCUCGCGACGAGAUCUUUGAAACUAGAUCUUGCAUGGGUAUGUUUUCACGAAAUAAUUUUGAUGCCAACUUUGAUGCUAUUUGGUGCAACUUUAGUGCUGCAUUGUGCAUCUUUAGUAUUGCAUGGUGCAACUUUUUCUCAAAAUGAAUUUCUGGAGCUGUGUGAUCUAACUUUCUAUGAGUUUGCAACCUAGCAGCCAUGACAACCUAAUGUGCAACUAGUCUACUGCCCCGGCCAACUACUAGUAGUCGAUGUGCAACCCUCAUUUGUACUUGCCCCACCUACAAUACCAGCGAUGAGAAAGGUGUAACAACACCCGGGUGCCUAGGCACCCUCUAUGAACAGUGAAAUCAAAAAAAUAGAAAAAAAGUUUGAAAAAAUCUAAAACUUUGCAACAUAUAAGAUGGUUAAAAUUUAUAGGUUCUUACAAGUUUUCAUGUCAAAAUAUUAUGUAGAGGAAGGUGUACAAACAAGGUUCAGGUUUCAGUGCUAAAAGUGUUCAAAAUUUGAACUACGGAAAAAAAAUCCUGGGUAGAGCUCAUCAAAUGUUUUUUUUUUGACAUGAAAACGUGUAAGCACCUAAAUUUUUUUAUCAUCUUUGAUCUUGCAAAGUUUCAAUUUUUUUCUAUUUGUUUCGGUGUUACUGUUCAUAGAGGGUGCCUAGGCACCCGGGUGCUGAAAAUCCACUCUCUACCAGCAAUAUGUGCUACUUAGUCUGUUGUUCAAGCCAACUAUCUAUUAGUUGAUGUGCAACUCCUAUCCCUCCCUACUUGUGAAUAUGUAGUUUCACUUGGCGGGGGUAACAUACGUAGUUGCACAUAGUCUGUUAGGCAGUUGGCCGGGGUAACAUACGAAGUUGCACAUCACACAAGCAAGGAUAGUUGGAUUGUGAAAAUUCCACAUUCAUGAGGGGGAGUGAAAAGUUGCAUAUAAACAUGGCCUAAAGUUACACAUCUCGCUAAUAGGGAUGGUUUGGACCGGGUGCUAGCAGGGAAACCACACAUUUACGGGGGGUACAAGGGAAAGUUGCACAUAAUUGUUAAACACUUGGCUGUGGUAGUAUCCGAAGUUGCACAUCCACUAUUAAACAGUUGGCCGAUGGAGCGAACAGUGAAAGCGCAAGCACAGGCACAAACAAGGUGUAAAUAUGCCCUGGAGGCAAUAAUAAAUUAGUUAUUAUCAUGUUUUUUUCUUCAUGAUAAUUGUUUAUUAUCCAUUCUAUAAUUUUAUUGAUUGGAGACUCAAGUACAUGUGUGGAUACAUAGACAACACUAUGUCCCUAAUGAGCCUCUACUAGACUAGCUCGUUGAUCAAAGAUGGCUAAGGUUUCCUAGCCAUAGACAUGAGUUGUCAUUUUAUAAUGGGAUCACAUCAUUAGGAGAAUGAUGUGAUGGAAAGGGCCCAAACCUUAAGCAUGGCGUUUGAUUGUAUCUAGUUUACUGUUAUUGCUUUGUGCAUGCCAAUGUAUUUGUUCCUAUGACCAUGAUAUCAUGCAACUCACCGACACCGAAGGAAUGUCUUGUGUCUAUCAAACAUCACAACAUAAUUGGGUGACUAUAAAGAUACUCUAUAUGUAUCUCUGAGGGUGUCUGUGGAGUUGGGAUGGAUCAAGACUGGUAUUUGUCACUCCGUAUGACGGAGAGGUAUCUCGGGGCCCACUCGGUAAUACAACAUCACAUUAAGCUUGCAUGCNNNNNNNNNNNNNNNNNNNNNNNNNNNNNNNNNNNNNNNNNNNNNNNNNNNNNNNNNNNNNNNNNNNNNNNNNNNNNNNNNNNNNNNNNNNNNNNNNNNNUCAUCAUCACCCUCGGGCAUUAGUGGCACCCGACGGGGUUUUCAUAAACUCUUUAUUUAACUCAUCAUUAUGCUUGUGAUAGUAUGCUCUAUCAUUACUUGUCAACAUGGUAAAACAUGACCCUCACGAGGUAGGGUCAGGCUCAAUGCAAUGAUCUUACUUUACUAGUCAACAUGACAGUAGCAUGAUCCUCGUAGAUGGUAGGGUCAGCUCAUCAUGUUUGUGCUCCGAGGAUCCAUGUGAAUAUCAUUACUAUCAAUGCAAGUGCUUCGAAGAAGCCUUCGGUGCCAUCACCACAAUGAUGAACCGACAUCGUGAUCACAUGCAACGGGAAAAUACUUGUUAUACUAGCAUGCAUCAUUUUAUAUACUUAAGUCAUGGCAAAAGGGCUGCUUGCCUUGGUCAGCUAGGUAUCCGGGGUUUUCGAGGUCUUCCGCUCCGGAUCCUCCGUCACUCGGUAACUCUACCGUCAAGAAAGGAAUAAAUAAAUACUAGUUCUCACUAAAAUAGAUCACAAAGUGCUUUUAAAAAUGUUGCAAGGCUUGAAUAAAUUCAGUUUAUUAUUUUGGAAAAUGUAUCUUAUAGUUUUAUUUGCUAAGCAUAUUUAUUUAAAAGCAAACACAAGCAAACAAGUGCUUUUUAAUAUCAUUUUAUUAGAUCAAAAUAGUUUCUGUUUUUGAUAAAUGUCAACUAUUACAGAAUCAAAUACUACUCAUUUUUAGAAAAUUACUGGUGGAAGAAUUAUAUUUUUCUACUGGCUAAAUCUUUUUAUAAAAAUCAUUUAAGUUACUGGAUUAAAAUAAAAGGAAAAGUCCAGUGGAACAGAUCCAGCCGGCCCAGCCAGCAGGCCUGGCCACGAGGCACGCGCGGGCCAGGUUCAAACCUGACCUGCGGGCCCUUGGGGUCAGCGUCAGCGGCUGCGCGCGUUGGCUGCCCCAGGACACCGACAGGUGGGCUCCACCUGUCGGGUCCUUCUCCUACCUCCAGCCAGAGAGGUGGAGAUGGACGCCGGCGAGGAUGCCGUUGUCCUCAGGCAAAUCUAGGAACGGGAACGGGUCCCUCGUGCCUCCGCCUACCUGUUCAUGGUCGGGACGUCACCGGAGGUGGUCCGGGUCACCGGUGAUGAGGUGCCGGCGGUGGAAGGGUUUCGGGUUGGUGUUGAACUAGGGGCUAGGGGCACGGAUUCGCUCGGGGAAGUUAGGGGAAAUGUUCCUAGUGUCAAGGGGAGUGUAAUGGGAGGUCGGGCAGCGCAGGAGCCGACGUGUAGCCGGAGAUCGACCGGAGCUCCGAGGCGGAGGGGCCUCGGUCGAUCUCGAGCGCUGGGGCUCUGCGAGCUCGAUUGGGUGGNNNNNNNNNNNNNNNNNNNNNNNNNNNNNNNNNNNNNNNNNNNNNNNNNNNNNNNNNNNNNNNNNNNNNNNNNNNNNNNNNNNNNNNNNNNNNNNNNNNNCCCAUGUGUCCUCGGGAGCACUUUGCUUUAUAUAAGAGUUUGUCCAUGCUUGUCCUUUGCUACAAAAAGGAUUGGGACACCUUUUUGUACCUUUAUUACACUUGUUACUUGUUACCUGUUACAAAUACCUUAUCACAAAACUAUCUGUCACCGACAAUUUCAGUGCUUGCACAGAAUACCUUACUACGAAUUGCUUGUCAUUUCCUUCUGCUCCUCGUUGGGUUCUACACUCUUACUUAUCGAAAGGACUACGCUAGAUCCCAUACACUUAUGGGUCAUCAAUUGCCAGCCUUCUUAACUACCAAGUAUCUAGAACAGUCCCGCUUCGGGGAUCGUUCCGAUCAUAAUAGAAGCACUUAGUCUCGGGUUUGGGUUCAACCUUGGGUUUCUUCAUUGGAGUGAUAACAGACUUGUCAUUCUUGAAGUUUCCCUUCUUGCCCUUGCCCUUCUUGAAACUAGUGGUUUUACUAACCNNNNNNNNNNNNNNNNNNNNNNNNNNNNNNNNNNNNNNNNNNNNNNNNNNNNNNNNNNNNNNNNNNNNNNNNNNNNNNNNNNNNNNNNNNNNNNNNNNNNNNNNNNNNNNNNNNNNNNNNNNNNNNNNNNNNNNNNNNNNNNNNNNUAGUGGUUUUACUAACCAUCAAUACUUUAUGCUCUUUCUUGAUUUCUACCUUUGCGGUGUCAAACAUCUCGAAUAGCUCAGGGAUCAUCUUCUACAGCCCUGAUAUGCUAUACUUCAUCACGAAGCUCCAGUAGCUUGGUCGCAGCGACUUUGGGGAACUAUGUCAAUCACUAUCUUAUCUGGUAGAUCAACUCCCACUUGAUUCAAGUGAUUGUAGUACCCAGACAAUCUCAGCACAUGCUCACCAAUUGAUCCAUUCUCAUUCAUCUUGUAGGGANNNNNNNNNNNNNNNNNNNNNNNNNNNNNNNNNNNNNNNNNNNNNNNNNNNNNNNNNNNNNNNNNNNNNNNNNNNNNNNNNNNNNNNNNNNNNNNNNNNNUGAAAAAUAACAAAUGAUGUUAGAAAGGGUUGUAAAUUAUUGAUGUGGCUUCGAAUGGUGCAUUUUGAACACAGAAAAACUAUGGAGUUCAAAUAAGUUCAAAAAAAUGAAAUCCCUUUGUAACAGACGAGUUUNNNNNNNNNNNNNNNNNNNNNNNNNNNNNNNNNNNNNNNNNNNNNNNNNNNNNNNNNNNNNNNNNNNNNNNNNNNNNNNNNNNNNNNNNNNNNNNNNNNNNNNNNNNNNNNNNNNNNNNNNNNNNNNNNNNNNNNNNNNNNNNNNNNNNNNNNNNNNNNNNNNNNNNNNNNNNNNNNNNNUUAUAGCUCAAAAUAAUAACUAAAUGCAUGAAAAAUAACAAACGAAGUCAGAAAGGGUUGUAAAUUGAUGACGUGGCUUUGAAUGGUGCAUUUUGAACACAUAAAAACUAUGGAGUUCAAAUAAGUUCAAAAAAUGAAAUCCCUUUGUAACAGACGAGUUUCCGUAUGAAACCCUGAUACUUUGAAAGAGAUUGUCCGUUNUUAUAGCUCAAAAUAAUUAGUAAAUGCAUGAAAAAUAACUAAUGAAGUUAGAAAGGGUUGUAAAUUGAUGAUGUGGCUUUGAAUGGUGCAUUCUGAGCACUAAAAAACUAUGGAGUUCAAAUAAGUUCAAAAAAUGAAAUCCCUUUGUAACAGACGAGUUUCCGUAUGAAACCCUGAUACUUCCAAAGAGAUUGUCCGUUUNNNNNNNNNNNNNNNNNNNNNNNNNNNNNNNNNNNNNNNNNNNNNNNNNNNNNNNNNNNNNNNNNNNNNNNNNNNNNNNNNNNNNNNNNNNNNNNNNNNNNNNNNNNNNNNNNNNNNNNNNNNNNNNNNNNNNNNNNNNNNNNNNNNNNNNNNNNNNNNNNNNNNNNNNNNNNNNNNNNNNNNNNNNNNNNNNNNNNUGCCGUAACCCUCUCAAUUUUCUUGCAUAUGCUAUGUGGAUGAAAUGAUGAUACCAUGCCAAAAUAAAAGAGAGGCACAAUGCUCACCUGCACGUUGCUUAGCUUCAAGCCAACGUGGAGGUGAGCACUGCGCUUCUCCCUUCAUCGUCUCUACACUCAGGGCUUAUAAACCGCUGCGAGUGCCUCUCGCUUGGCGAGGUGGGACUAAGAAACAGUUGCACAAAGAAUCAACUAAAAAACUCUUUUACCAGUUCAUGCCACGAACCGGUACUAAAAGGUGCUCGUGGGGCCCCAGCCUUAGAACCUGUACCAAAUAAAAUGCCUUUGUAACAGCCUUAGAACUGGUACUAAAGGAAUCAACUAAAAAGCUUUUAUAAACCUCUAGUAUUAUUGAAACUAAAAUUAUAUAGAAUUUUGUUACAAACUUUAAUAGCAAAAAGAAUUAUCAUAAAAGAAAAUAAAUAAGUAAUUAGAAUUUUGUUCAAAACUUUAAUAGCAAAAAGAAUUAUCAUAAAAGAAAAUAAAUAAGUAAUUAGAAUUUUGUUCAAAACAUUAAAAGCAAAAAAGAAUUAUCAUAAAAGAAAAUAAAUAAGUAAUUAGAAUUUUGUUACAAACUUUAAUAGCAAAAAUAAUUAUCGUAAAAGAAAACAAAUAAGUAAUUAGAAACAAAAAAGAAAGCAAAAAACAGGGGAAAAAAUAAAAAAAAAGUGCCACCUACAGGGCCAUCACGACCUGCAUACGUCUAGAAACCCACUACUAGGGCCAGGAUGCAGGCCCGCAGUAGGCUCAAUAGGCCCACAAGCACAGAGAGUGAUUUUAGGCCCGUAAGCCUGAAGUAGAGAGGAGCUUGAAGUGGUUGGUUCGGCAGGGCUUAUAAACCACUCCGAGCCUCUCUCGGCUAGCGAGGUGGGACUAAACAUAGCACUGCACCGCGCAAGGCCUUUGGUCUCGGUUGGUGGCACCAACCGGGACUAAAGGGAGGCAUUGGUACCGGUUGGUGCCACCAACCGUGACCAAAGGCCUCUGCUUCCCGCCCUUUGGGCUGCUGAAAAGAGACCUUUGGUCCCGGUUUGUGCCACCAACCGGUACCAAUGCCUCUGCUUCCCGCCCGUGGGGCUGCUGAAAAGAGACCUUUGGUCCCGGUUGGUGCAACCAACCGGGACUAAAGGUGGGGCUAUAUAAGCGACAGUUUAGAAAUUUUGAUCUCUCCCCCUCUCUCCAUUCGAUCCCGACGCCGCCAGGCCGCCCGUCUCGCCGUCGCCGUCGUCGUUGUCGCCCCGCCCCGCCCCGACACCGUCNNNNNNNNNNNNNNNNNNNNNNNNNNNNNNNNNNNNNNNNNNNNNNNNNNNNNNNNNNNNNNNNNNNNNNNNNNNNNNNNNNNNNNNNNNNNNNNNNNNNUGAUAUGUGGGUGGACCGGUGCUUGGGUACUGCCCUUACUUGGACAAGCAUCCCACUUAUAAUUAACCCCUCUCGCAAGCAUCCGCAACUACGAAAUAAGAAUUAAGACAAAGUCUAACCAUAGCAUUAAACUAGUGGAUCCAAAUCAGCCCCUUGUGAAGCAACGCAUAAAGUAGGGUUUAAGCUUAUGUCACUCUAGCAACCCAUCAUCUACUUACUACUUCCCAAUGCCUUCAUAUAGGCCCAAAUAAUGGUGAAGUGUUAUGUAGUCGACGUUCACAUAACACCACUAGAGGAAAAACAACAUACAACAUAUCAAAUUACCGAACGAAUACCAAAUUCACAUGACUACUAUUAGCAUGACUUAUCCCAUGUCCUCGGGAACAAAAGUAACUACUCACAAAGCAUAAUCAUAUUCAUGACCAGAGAGGUAAUGAGUAGCAUCAAGGAUCUGAACGUAAACUCUUCCACCAAGCAAUCCAACUAGCAUCAACUACAAAGAGUAAUCAACGCUACUAGCAACCUUACAAGUACCAUCGGGGUCGCGAGACGGAGAUUGGUUACAAGUGAUGAACUAGGGUUUGGAGAUGAGAUGGUGCUGAUGAAGAUGUUGAUGGUGAUGAGUCCCCUCCGAUGAGAGAGGAGUGUUGUUCAUGACGAUGGCGACGAUUUCCCCCUCCGGGAGGGAAGUUUCCCCGCAGGAUCGUCCUGCCGGAGCUCUAGAUUGGUUCUGCUCAAGUUCCGCCUCGUGGCGGCGGCGAAACCACGAAAAAGCUCCUCCUUGAUUUUUUCCUGGACGAAACCCUCCAUAUAGCAAAAGAGGGGGGCAAGUGGGCCAGCAGGGUGCCCACAAGCCCCCAUGGCGCGACCUGGGGGGGUGGCCGCGCCGUGCAGGCUUGUGGCCACCCCCUAGCGCCCCUGUGGCACUUCUUCGGCCCAGUAUUUUUGAUAAAUCGGAAAAAAUCCUUGUUGAUUUUUACGGCGUUUGGAGUUUCGCAGAAUAGGUAUCUCAAACUUGCUCCACUUUCAGGCCAGAAUUCCAGUUGCCGGUAUUUUCCCUCUUCAUGUAAACCUUACAAAAUAAGAGAGAAAAGGCAUAAUAAUUGUACCGUGAAGUGAAAUAACAGCCCAAGAAGCGAUCAAUAUCAACAUGAAAACAUGAUGCAAAAUGGACGUAUCAACUCCCCCAAGCUUCGACCUCGCUUGUCCUCAAGCGAAAGCCUAGAUCAAUAAAUAUGUCCACAUGUUUAGGGAGAGAGGUGUCGACAAAACAAGAUACGAACAUGCAUGCAUCAUGAUCAUGAUGAGAACAGCAAUACCAACAUAUAAUCUCUCAUGCUAAAGUGAUAAUUCCUUCACAAAGUAAAGCAUGGAUCAAGAACCUUACCGAGAAGUAACAACUGAUAGCCUUUAGUCAUUGAAGCAAUUGCAAUUUAUCACAACAUCACAGAGAGUCAAAUAAGAGCUUGUAAAGCGAAUCCACAUACUCAAUCAUUCUUUCGUUCUCUACAAUUGCUACAACUCACGUGGUACUCAUGACAUCAAAGUUGCAGCUGGACACAGAGAAAUAUAGGGGCUUAUAGUUUUGCCUCCUAACUGCUUACCUCAAGGGUAAUGUCAACAAUAAUAAUUCAUGAAUACUUACCUCCAAGUUGACAUAUGAAUAUAGAUCUUUCCCAAGUGUGUGACGGUAGCCAAGACAAAGGCAAAAUAAGGAAUUGGUGAAGAUCACCAUGACUCUUUCAAGGGCAAAAAGUAAAGGUACAAGAUAGGCCCUUCGCAGAGGGAAGCAGAGGUUGUCAUGCGCUUUUGAGGUUUGGAUGCGUGUCCUCUUAGUGCGGAGGAACGUCACUUUAUAUUGCCCCCUGUGAUAAAGAACUUUAUUAUGCAGUCUGUCGCUUUUAUAUGUUCCUCAUCAUAGGUUCGUACAAAGCUUAUUUUCCACACACUAAUAGAUCAUACAUAUUAGAGAGCAUUUUUUAUUGCUUGCACCGAUGACAACUUACUUGAGGGAUCUUAUUCAAUUCAUAGGUAGGUAUGGUGGACUCACAUGGCAAAACUGGGUUGAAGGUUUAUGGAUGCACAAGUAGUAUCUCUACUUAGUGCGGGAGGUUUGGCUAAUGUGAGGUGGAAGCAAUCGUCACAUGCUAAGGGAUCUCUAAUCAUAUAACAUUGUUUGGAACCAAGCAAACACGAUUCAUUAUGUUGUCUUCCUUGUCCAACAUCUACUUCUAGGCAUGCAAUAGUUUAGUGAGUGUUCACAAUCAUAGAUGGUGUCAGAGAUGAUAUAUUUAUAUGUGAACCUCUCCUUCUUUAUCACUUCCUAUUAAUUGCAACAAUGACCAAGGUCUACGUUUGCCUACCCUCAACAAGUUUCAAUCCUCAUUCUUUUUAUAUGUGAAGCCAUCACUUCCCAUAAGAUCAUUACAUGAUCUUUCAUGCUUUUGUUCUAUUAUCACUCUUUUGAUCAUGGCAAGAGGCAAAGCCCUUCAACUAAGACACUCUUUAUUAUAUGUCUCACGAGCUUGAAUACAUCGGGGGUGACACAAAGCAAAACUCAAUACUAAAACACUAAAACUUUUAAACUACUAGAAAAAGAGAAAACUGAAAACGAAAACUAAAACAAAGGUAAAGGCAAAAGAUGUGAUGGUGAUACGAUACCGGGGCAAUGUUGGGGAACGUCGGAUGGGAAACAAAAAAUUCCUAUGCACAUGAAGACCUGUCAUGGUGAUGUCCAUCUACGAGAGGGGAUUUCCGAUCUACGUACCCUUGUAGAUCGCUUCUACGGGACCUUCCCCGGCAACGGCGCCAGGAAUCCUUCUGCUGCUGGCUACGCCUACAGGGACUUCCUUGGCAAAUAUGCAAAGGAUUCCCCCGCGGCCUUGGAGCCUUGCGUUGGUGUUCCCUUGAAGAGGAAAGGGUGAUGUAGCACUGCGGCAGUAAGUAUUUUCCUCAGUUUGAGAACCAAGGUAUCGAUUCAGUAGGAGGAUCGCGUCAAGUCACAAGUACCUGCACAAACACAAAGAGCUUGCACCCAACGCUAUGAAGGGGUUGUUAAUCCCUUAUAGAUUGUCUGCAAAGUGAGAACUGGAAGCAAAAAGUAAACAAAGCAAAGUAAAAGUAAAAGUGGAGACGAUAGUUGUGAAUAGACCCGGGGGCCGUAGUGUUCACUAGUGGCUUCUCUCAUGAAAGCAAGUAGACGGUGGCUGAACGAAUUACUGACGAGCAAUUGAUAGAACCACGCAAAGUCAUGACGUUAUCUAUGGCAAUGAUCAUAUGUAUAGGCAUCACGUCCAAAACAAGUAGACCGAUACUUUCUGCAUCUACUACUAUUACUCCACACGUCGACCGUUGUCCAGCAUGCCUCUAGUGUAUUGAGUUCAUAAGAACAGAGUAACGCCUUAAGCAAGAUGACAUGAUGUAGAUGGACAAUCUCAAAUCUAUGAAGAAAACCCAUCUUGUUACCCUUGAUGGCAACAACACGAUGCGUGCCUUGCUGCCCUUUAUGUCACUGGGAAAGGUCACCGCACGGUAUGAACCCAAAACCAAGCACUUCUCCCAUUGCAAGAAUCAUAGAUCUAGUUAGCCAAACAAAACCCAAGACUCGGAGAGACUUACAAGGAUAUCAAAUCAUGCAUAUAAGAAAUCAGCAAAGACUCAAAUAUAAUUCAUAGAUAAUCUGAUCACAAAUCCACAAUUCAUCGGAUCUCGACAAACACACCGCCAAAGAGGAUUACAUCGUAUAGAUCUCCAUGAAGAUCAUGGAGAACUUUGUAUUGAAGAUCCAAGAGAGAGAAGAAGACAUGUAGCUACUAACUACGAAACCCGUAGGUCUGAAGUGGACUACUCAUGAGUCAUUGGAGGGGCGAUGAUGUUGAUGUAGAAGCCCUCUAGCUCCAAAGUCCCCUCUGUCACGACACCAGGAAGGGUCUCCAGAUGAGAUCUCGCAGAAACGGAAGCUUGCGGCGGCGGAAAAGUGGUUUCGUGGACGCCCUGAUUUUUUCUGGGAUUUUAGGGAAUAUAUAGGUCAAAGAGCUAGGGCAUGGGAGCGUCACGGAGGCCACAAGCCUGGUCGCUGCGGGCCCCCCUUGCCGCGGCAUCAGGGCUUGUGGGCUCCCUCUGGGCCUCCUGCCUUGGCCCUCAAGUCCCCCGAUCUUCUUCUGUUCUGGAAAAAUUUAUUUCGGGGAUUUUAUUCCGUUUGGACUCCGUUCCAAAAUCAGAUCUGAAAAGAGUCUAAAACACAGAAAAAACAGGAACUGGCACUUGGCACUGAGUUAAUAAGUUAGUCCCAAAAAAGAUAUAAAAGGUAUAUAAAACAUCCAAAGUUGACAAGAUAACAGCAUGAAACCAUCAAAAAUUAUAGAUACGUUUGAGACGUAUCAAGCAUCCCCAAGCUUAACUCCUGCUCGUCCUCAAGUAGGGAAGUGAUAAAGAAUGAAUUUUUGAUGCUUUCAUGCUACCUAGCAUAGAUGUCCUUUGUAACUCCUCUUAUGUGACGUGAAUGUUCAUAUCCAUUAGAUUCAAAACAAUAGUUUGCUAUUGACGUGGAGACAAUAAUACUUCAAGCAAACUAGCAAGGUAAUCAUGAACUUUCAAAAUAACAAGGCCAAAAGAAAGUUAUCCCUACAAAAUCAUAUAGUCUGGCUAUGCUCUAUCAUCCUUGCACAACAAAUUCAAAUCAUGCACAACCUCGGUAUUGGCCAAGUAAUUGUUUUCACACCUUUACUUUCUCAAACUUUUUCAACCCUCACGUAAUGCAUGAGCGUGAGCCAUGGUUUUAGCACUAUAAGUGGAAUGGAGUGUGGUGGAGGUUGCAAGGCAAACAAGAAGAAGAUGGUCACAUUGACUAGGCAUAUCAAUGAUUUGUGGAGAUGCUCAUCAAUAGAUAUCAACGUGAAUGAAUAGGGAUUGCCAUACAAAUGAUGCACUAGAGCUAAGAGUAUGUGAAAGAUUUAAAAAAAACUAGUGGGUGUGCAUCCAACUUGCUUGCUCACGAAGACCUAAGGCAAUUUUUAGGAAGCCUAUCAUUGGAAUAUACAAGCCAAGUUAUAUAAUUAAAAUUUCCCACUAGCUAUAUGGUGGUGACAAAACGAGAGACUCUCAAUCAUGAAGAUCAUGGUGCUUAAUAAGCACAAGUGUGGAAAGAUAGUAGCAUUGUCCCUUCUCUCUUUUUCUCUCUUUUUUUGGUGGGCUCUUUGGCCUCUUUUUGUAAAUGGGCUUCGCUGGCCUCUUUUAUUUCCUCACAUGGGACAAUGCUCCAUCAAUGAUGAUCAUCACACUUACAACUCAAAACUUAGAGCAAUGAUGACUCUAUAAGGAAUGCCUUCGGUAGUGUACCGUGACAAUGAUCUAGCAUGCCAUAGACAUCAAUGGAAACAUCAUGCUAGCUAUCUUAUGAUCAUGCAAUGGAAAUGUAGAGGUGGUGGCACAUGUCAUGGUGGUAGUUGCAUGGCAAUAUUGUUGGGGAACGUCGCAUGGGAAACAAAAAUUUUCCUAUGCGCACGAAGACCUAUCAUGGUGAUGUCCAUCUACGAGAGGGGAUGAGUGAUCUACGUACCCUUGUAGAUCGUACAGCAGAAGCGUUAGUGAACGCGGUUGAUGUAGUGGAACGUUCUCACGUCCUUCGAUCCGCCCCGCGAACAAUCCCGCGAUCAGUCCCACGAUCUAGUACCGAACGGACGGCACCUCCGCGUUCAGCACACGUACAGCUCGACGAUGAUCUUGGCCUUCUUGAUCUAGCAAGAGAGACAGAGAGGUAGAAGAGUUAUACGGCAGCGUGACGGCGCUCCGGAGGUUGGUGAUGACCUUGUCUCAGCAGGGCUCCGCUCGAGCUCCGCAGAAACGCGAUCUAGAGGAAAAACCGUGGAGGUAUGUGGUCGGGCUGCCGUGGAAAAGUCAUCUCAAAUCAGCCCUAAAACCUCCGUAUAUAUAGGUGGGAGGGAGGGGACCUUGCCUUGGGGCUCAAGCCCCAAGGGGGUCGGCCGAGUCCAAGGGGGAAGGCUCCCCCCCAAACCGAGUUGGACUUGGUUUGGUGGGUGGGAGUCCUUCCUUCCCUUCCCACCUCCUCUUUUUUUUUCUCUUUGAUUUUCUUUCCUAGGCGCAUAGGGCACUUUUGGGCUGUCCACCCUCAAGGCCUAUGGGUGAGAAAAUAACGAUAUCCGCCGCGCGCCUCUACGCUCAUCGGACCACACACAUCGGUAUGUAUGAUUUCCAACAAGUCACUUGCACGCUCCAUAGUUCCGGAGAAUGGAGUCUUAGUCAUCUUGACCAUGAGGCAUGGUUCGCACGUGUCAAGUGAAUCAAAGUCAAGUGACUCCAAAAGUCCAUCAGCAUGGAGUUUCUUCAUGCGCUUUACACCAAUAUGACCUAAGCGGCAGUGCCACAAAAAUAUGGCGCUAUCAUUGUUAACUCUAACUCUUUUGGUCUCAAUGUUAUGUAUAUGUGUAUCGCAAUCAAGAUUCAAUAUGAACAAUCCUCUCACAUUAGGUGCAUGACCAUAAAAGAUGUUACUCAUAGAAAUAGAACAACCAUUAUUCUCUGACUUAAAAGAGUAACCGUCUCGCAAUAAACAAGAUCCAGAUAUAAUGUUCAUGCUCAACGCAGGCACUAAAUAACAAUGUUUUAAGUUCAUCACUAAUCCUGAUGGUAACUGAAGUGAAACUGUGCCGACGGCGAUUGCAUCAACCUUGGAACCAUUUCCUACGCGCAUCGUCACUUCAUCUUUCGCCAGCCUUCGUCUAUUCCGCAGUUCCUGUUUCGAGUUGCAAAUAUGAGCAACAUAACCGGUAUCGAAUACCCAGGCACUACUACGAGAGCCGGUUAAGUACACAUCAAUAACAUGUAUAUCAAAUAUACCUGAUUUUUCUUUGGCCGCCUUCUUAUCUGCCAGAUACUUGGGGCAAUUGCGCUUCGAGUGACCCAUACCCUUGCAAUAGUAACACUCCGUUUCAGGCUUAGGUCCAGCUUUGGGUUUCUUCGUCGGAUUGGCAACAGGCUUGCCGCUCUUCUUCGAAUUACCCUUCUUGCCUUUACCGUUUCUCUUGAAACUAGUGGUCUUAUUCACCAUCAACACUUGAUGCUCUUUACGGAGUUCAGACUCUGCGACUUUCAGCAUCGCAAACAACUCGCCGGGAGACUUGUUCAUCUUGUCAUGUUGUAGUUCAACACAAAGCCUUUAUAGCUUGGCGGCAGUGAUUGAAGGAUUCUGUCAGUGAUAGCCUCUUGCGGGAGUUCAAUCCCCAGCUCAGCUAGACGGUUUGAGUACCCAGACAUUUUGAGCACAUGUUCACUGACAGACGAGUUUUCCUCCAUCUUGCAAGCAUAGAAUUUAUCGGAGGUCUCAUACCUCUCGAUCCGGGCGUUCUUCUGAAAGAUAAACUUCAACUCCUGGAAUAUCUCAAAUGCUCCAUGACGCUCAAAGCGACGUUGAAGUCCCGGUUCUAAGCCAUACAAGACUGCACAUUGAACUAUUGAGUAGUCCUCCUUACGUGCUAACCAAGCGUUCUUAACAUCCUGAUCAGCCGUAGCGGGUGGUUCAUCUCCUAGCGCAGCAUUAAGGACAUAAUCCUUCUUCCCAGCUUGUAAGAUUAACUUAAGAUUACGAGCCCAGUCUACAAAGUUGCUUCCAUCAUCUUUCAACUUAGCUUUCUCUAGGAACGUAUUAAAAUUCAGGAUGACUGUAGCGUGAGCCAUGAUCUACAACACAAAUAUAUUCAAAGUGGACUUUAGACUAUGUUCAAGAUAAUUAGAGUUUAAUUUAAUCAAAUUAUAUGCUAAACUCCCACUCANUCCAUCACCAAAGCACCGGCACGAUCUUCUUGUCACCGGCGCCACGCCAUGAUCUCCAUCAACGUGUUGCCAUCGGGGUUGUCGUGCUACUCAUGCUAUUACUACUAAAGCUACAUCCUAGCAAAAUAGUAAACACAUCUGCAAGCACAAACGUUAGUAUAAAGACAACCCUAUGGCUCCUGCCGGUUGCCGUACCAUCGACGUGCAAGUCGAUAUUUUCUAUUACAACAUGAUCAUCUCAUACAUCCAAUAUAUCACAUCACAUCGUUGGCCAUAUCACAUCACAAGCAUACCCUGCAAAAACAAGUUAGACGUCCUCUAAUUUUAUUGUUGCAUGUUUUACGUGGUGACCAUGGGUAUCUAGUAGGAUCGCAUCUUAAUUACGCAAACACCACAACGGAGAUAUAUGAGUUGCUAUUUAACCUCAUCCAAGGACCUCCUCGGUCAAAUCCGAUUCAACUAAAGUUGGAGAAACCGACACUUGCCAGUCAUCUUUGAGCAACGGGGUUACUCGUAGCGAUGAAACCAGUCUCUCGUAAGCGUACGAGUAAUGUCGGUCCAAGCCGCUUCUAUCCAACAAUACCGCGGAAUCAAGAAAAGACUAAGGAGGGCAGCAAAACGCACAUCACCACCCACAAAAACUUUUGUGUUCUACUCGAGAAGACAUCUACGCAUGAACCUAGCUCAUGAUGCCACUGUUGGAGAACGUCGCAUGGGAAACAAAAAUUUUCCUACGCGCACGAAGACCUAUCAUGGUGAUGUCCAUCUACGAGAGGGGAUGAGUGAUCUACGUACCCUUGUAGAUCGUACAGCAUAAGCGUUAGUGAACGCGGUUGAUGUAGUGGAACGUCCUCACGUCCCUCGAUCCGCCCCGCGAACAAUCCCGCGAUCAGUCCCACGAUCUAGUACCGAACGGAUGGCACCUCCGCGUUCAGCACACGUACAGCUCGACGAUGAUCUUGGCCUUCUUGAUCUAGCAAGAGAGACGGAGAGGUAGAAGAGUUCUCCGGCAGCGUGACGGCGCUCCGGAGGUUGGUGAUGACCUUGUCUCAGCAGGGCUCCGCCCAAGCUCCGCAGAAACGCGAUCUAGAGGAAAAACCGUGGAGGUAUGUGGUCGGGCUGCCGUGGAAAAGUCGUCUCAAAUCAGCCCUAAAACCUCCGUGUAUAUAGGUGGGGGGGAGGGGACCUUGCCUUGGGGCUCAAGGAGCCCCAAGGGGGUCGGCCGAGUCCAAGGGGGAAGGCUCCCCCCCCCCAAACCGAGUUGGACUUGGUUUGGUGGGUGGGAGUCCUUCCUUCCCUUCCCACCUCCUCUUUUUUUUCUCUUUGAUUUUCUUUCCUAGGCGCAUAGGGCCCUUUUGGGCUGUCCCACCAGCCCACUAAGGGCUGGUGUGCCACCCUCAAGGCCUAUGGGCUUCCCCGGGGUGGGUUGCCCCCCCGGUGAACUCCCGGAACCCAUUCGUCAUUCCCGGUACAUUCCCGGUAACUCCGAAAACCUUCCGGUAAUCAAAUGAGGUCAUCCUAUAUAUAAAUCUUCGUUUCCGGACCAUUCGAAAACCCUCGUGACAUCCGUGAUCUCAUCCGGGACUCCUAACAACAUUCGGUAACCAACCAUAUAACUCAAAUACGCAUAAAACAACGUCUAACCUUAAGUGUGUAGACCCUGCGGGUUCGAGAACUAUGUAGACAUGACCCGAGAGACUCCUCGGUCAAUAUCCAAUAGCGGGACCUGGAUGCCCAUAUUGGAUCCUACAUAUUCUACGAAGAUCUUAUCGUUUGAACCUCAGUGCCAAGGAUUCAUAUAACCCCGUAUGUCAUUCCCUUUGUCCUUCGGUAUGUUACUUGCCCGAGAUUCGAUCGUCAGUAUCCACAUACCUAUUUCAAUCUCGUUCACCGGCAAGUCUCUUUACUCGUUCCGUAAUACAAGAUCCCGCAACUUUCACUAAGUCACAUUGCUUGCAAGGCUUGUGUGUGAUGUUGUAUUACCGAGUGGGCCCCGAGAUACCUUUCCGUCACACGGAGUGACAAAUCCCAGUCUUGAUCCAUACUAACUCAACUAACACCUUCGGAGAUACCUGUAGAGCAUCUUUAUAGUCACCCAGUUACGUUGCAACGUUUGAUACACACAAAGCAUUCCUCCGGUGUCAGUGAGUUAUAUGAUCUCACGGUCAUAGGAAUAAAUACUUGACACGCAGAAAAAACAGUAGCAACAAAAUGACACGAUCAACAUGCUACGUCUAUUAGUUUGGGUCUAGUCCAUCACGUGAUUCUCCUAAUGACGUGAUCCAGUUAUCAAGCAACAACACUUUGUUCAUAAUCAGAAGACACUGACUAUCUUUGAUCAAGUGGCUAUCCAACUAGAGGCUUGCUAGGGACGGUGUUUUGUCUAUGUAUCCACACAUGUAAAUGAGUCUUCAUUCAAUACAAUUAUAGCAUGGAUAAUAAACGAUUAUCUUGAUACAGGAAUUAUAAUAAUAACUAUAUUUAUUAUUGCCUCUAGGGCAUAAUUCCAACAAAUAUAUCUCGGAAUGGCUUUGAAGAAGCCAUAGUAGGUAGGUAUGGUGGCUGUUUUGAGGGAGGCUAAUGGUGGGUUUUAUGCACCGGCGAAAGUUGCACGUCACUAAAGAAGAUAGUGAUGGUGGAAGGUGAAAGUGCAUCUAAAGCAUGGACUCAACAUUAGUCAUGAAGAGCUCAUAUACUUGUUGCAAAAAAUUUAGUAGUAAUCAAAACAAAGCAUUCAACGCAUACUCCUAGGGGAAGGGUUGGUAGGUAUAAACCAUCGCGCGAUCCCGAGCGCCACACAAAGGAUGACAAUCAAUAGAGUAAUCAUGCUCAGACUUCAUCACAUAGCGGUUCACCAUACGUGCAUGCUACGGGAAUCACUAACUUCAACACAAGUAUUUCUAGAUCCACAACACCUUACUAGUAUAACUUCAAUAUUACCACAACCACAACUCAAAACUAAUUGAGAUGAAUCAAACUUCUCUAACCACUCAAUGCACAUGAAGGUGGAAGUUUUCAUAUCCCUUUGGAUAACUACCCCUUUUGAGACUACUUUCAUAGCAUAGAUCAACUACCACACCACGCGCCGCUGUGCUCUAAAAGAUAUAAGUGAAACACAUAGAGCAAAAUCAACUAGCUCAAAAGAUAUAAGUGAAGCACAUGUGAGCUGAAUUGUCUAACCAAAGGAUAUAAGUGAAGCUCGACAAAAUCAUAGUGAGUGCAUGUCUCUCUCUCUCUAGGUGUGCAGCAAGGAAGAUUGUGACACAACAAAAAUAAAAGACUCCUACGAUACAAGACGCUCCAAGCAAAACACAUAACAUGUGGUGAAUAAAAAUAUAUCCCCAAGUAACAUUACCGAUGGAUUGAAGACGAAAGAGGGGAUGCCUUCCCGGGGCAUCCCCAAGCUUAGGCUUUUUCGGCAUCCUUGAAUCAACUUGGGGUGCCUUGGACAUCCCCAAGCUUGAGCUCUUGCCACUCUUUAUCUCCUUGUCCAUAAGAACUUCACCCAAAACUUGAAAACUUCACAACACGAAACUUAAACAGAAACUCGUGAUAACAUUAGUAUAAGAAAGCAAACCACCACUUCCUUAGGUACUGUAGCAAACUUAAAUUCUACUUAUGUUGAUGUUGGGUUACUGUAUUUUCAAUCUUCCAUGGAUAAUACCCACCGAUACUAUCCAUAGUUUCAUCAAAAUAAGCAACCAACUCAACAAAAACAGAAUCUGUUAACAACAGACCAAUCUGUAGCAAUCUGUAUACUUCGUAUACUUAUGGUACUUCAAAAAUUCUGAACAAUUACGACAGUCUGAAGAAUUUGCGUAGCAAUCAGCAGCAAAAAGAAUCAACUCAAAAGCUCUCACAGAAAAAAAUGAAAAUUCUUUUCAUGAGCAGAAAGUUUCUUUCUUUUCCAGCAUGACCAAACGAUCAUCCCCAAGACUAAUCAUAACGGUUUUACUUGGCACAAAUGCAAAAGUAACACAAAAAACACAAUCAUAACACAAUUAUGAAAGUGUGAAAAACACAAAACAGAAAGAAAAAGGAUAGAUUCGUUGGGUUGCCUCCCAACAAGCGUUAUUGUUUAACGCCCUUAGCUAGGCAUAAGGUGAUGGAAUCAGGUAUAGUCAUCUUUGGUGCUCAAACCAUAAGUAGCCCUCAUCAUAGAUUCAUAAGGCAAUCUUAUUUUAUUUCUAGGAAAAUGCUCCAUGCCCUUCUUUAGAGGAAAUUGAAAUCUAAUAUUCCCUUCCUUCAUAUCGAUGAUAGCACCAAUAGUCCUUAGGAAAGGUCUACCAAGAAUAAUGGGACAUGAAGGAUUGCAAUCUAUGUCAAGUACAAUGAAAUCCACGGGUACAUAGUUCUUAUUUGCAACAAUAAGAACAUCAUUGAUCCUUCCCAUGAGUUUCUUGACAGUAGAAUUCGCAAGAUGCAAAUUAAGAGAACACUCUUCAAUCUCAUGAAAACCAAGAAUAUCACAUAAAGACUUUGGAAUCGCGAAAACACUAGCACCCAAAUCACACAAAGCAUUGCAUUCAUAGUUUUUGAUUUUGAUUUUGAUAGUAGGUUCCCACUCAUCAUGAAGUUUUCUAGGUAUAGAGACUUCUAAUUUGAGUUUCUCUUCAAGAGAUUUCAUCAUAGCAUCUACGAUAUGGGCGGUAAAGGCUUUGCUUUGGCUCUAAGCAUGUGGAGAGUUUGCAAUGGAUUGCAUCAAGGAAAUGCAUUCAAACAAGGAGAAACUAUCAUAAUUGAAUUCCUUGAAAUCCAAAGUGGGAGUUUCAUUACUACCCAAUAUUUUGAUUUCUUCUACUCCACUCUCCACACCUUUAUCAUCAAGAUAGGUGGACUCCGAAUCAUUGGGGAGUUUUUCAACCAAAGUGGAUUCAUAUCCAGCCCCUUCAUCAAUAGGUUUGACACGCGAAAACAAAGAUUCAAGAGGAGUCACACCAAGCACUUUAAGAUCUUCAUGAUUUGCAUCACUAGAACGCACCCUUUUAAACCAUUCAUGCCUAGCGCGAAUUUGGGUGGUUCUUUCUUUGCUCUAAAUUCAUGGAGACACGCAUAGCUUUUAAAGUUUCAUCCAAGUUGACCUUGGGAGGAGCACAUCUAACUUUCAAAGCAUCAAUAUCACAAGACAUCCUAUCAACGCUCUUAGCCAAAUCGUCUAUUUUGAAUAGUUUUUCCUCUAUGGAUGCAUUGAAAAUCUUUUGAGAGUUGGUGAACUCUUUGAUAUUACUCUCUAAAUCAGAGGGUAAUUUGUUAUGAUUUCCAUAAGUGUCGUUGUAGGAAUUGCCAUAAUUGUUAGAGGAGUUACUAGAAAAAGGCCUAGGAACAUAGUUUCCUCUAAAAGCAUUGUUGUUGCCAAAAUUGUUCCUACCAACAAAAUUAACGUCCAAACUAGCGUUGCUACUCUCAAUCAAGGAAGAUAGUGGCAUGUCAUUAGGAUCUAAAGUAGCAUUUCUACUAGCAACUAAAUUCAUCAACUCGUCCAUCUUAGCACUAAGCGAGUUAAUUUCUUCUAUAGCGUGUACCUUUUUGCUAGCAGGUGACCUUUCAGUGUGCCACUGAGAGUAGUUGGUCAUGAUAUUGUCUAAGAGUUUUCUAGCUUCUCCUAACAUGAUUUCCAUGAACGUUCCACCUGAGGCAGAGUCUAAGAUAUUGCGAGAAGCAAAAUUCAAACCAACAUAAAACAUUUGUAUAAUCAUCCACAAACUCAAGCCAUGAGCGGGACAAUUUCUAAUCAUUAACUUCAUCCUCUCCCAAGAUUGUGCAACGUGUUCAUGAUCAUGUUGCUUGAAAUUCAUGAUAUCGUUACAGAGAGAGAUAAUCUUAGCCGGCGGAAAAUACUUGGAUAUGUAAGUAUCUUUGCACUUAUUCCAAGAAUCGAUACUAUUUUUGGGCAAAGAAGAAAACCAAGUUUUUGCGCGAUCUCGCAACGAGAAAGGAAAAAGCUUCAACUUAACAACAUCAUUAUCCACAUAUCUUUUAUUUUGCAUAUCGCAAAGCUCAAAGAAGGUAUUGAGAUGGGAUGCAGCAUCUUCACUAGGAAGGCCAGAAAAUUGCUCUUUCAUAACAAGAUUCAGCAAGGCAACAUUGAUUUCAUAUGAUUCCACACUAGUGGCGGGAGCAAUCGUAGUACUAAUAAAAUCAUUAUUAUUAGUACUCGAGAAGUCGCAAAGUUUGGUGUUUUCAGCCAUGAUGACUUAAAAAAACAAACAAGAACACAAGCAAGCAAGAAAACUGGCAAAGGAAAACGGCAAAAGGCAAAAGAAAACGGCAAAGCAGAAAGGCAAAUGAAACGGCAAAUGUGAAGUGGGGGAGAGGAAAACGAGAGGCAACUGGCAAAAAAGGUAAAUGCAAGAGAUGAGUUUGUGACACUUACUUGGAUAGAUCUUGACUUGAUCUCUCCUCCCCGGCAACGACGCCAGAAAUCCUUCUGCUACGGCAAGAAAAGACCUUCCCCGGCAAUGACGCCAGGAAUCCUUCUGCUGCUUGCUACGCCUACAAGGACUUCCUUGGCAAAUAUGCAAAGGAUUCCCCCGCGGCCUUGGAGCCUUGCCUUGGUGUUCCCUUGAAGAGGAAAGGGUGAUGUAGCACUGCGGCAGUAAGUAUUUCUCUCAGUUUGAGAACCAAGGUAUCGAUCCAGUAGGAGGAUCGCGUCAAGUCACAAGUACCUGCACAAACACAAAGAGCUUGCACCCAACGCUAUGAAGGGGUUGUCAAUCCCUUAUAGAUUGUUUGCAAAGUGAGAAAUGAAAGCAAAAAGUAAACAAAGCAAAGUAAAAGUAAAAGUGGAGACGAUUGUUGUGAAUAGACCCGGGGGCCGUAGUGUUCACUAGUGGCUUCUCUCAUGAAAGCAAGUAGACGGUGGGUGAACGAAUUACUGACGAGCAAUUGAUAGAACUGCGCAAAGUCAUGACGUUAUCUAUGGCAAUGAUCAUAUCUAUAUGCAUCACGUCCAAAACAAGUAGACCGAUACUUUCUGCAUCUACUACUAUUACUCCACACGUCGACCACUAUCCAGCAUGCAUCUAGUGUAUUAAGUUCAUAAGAACAGAGUAACGCCUUAAGCAAGAUGACAUGAUGUAGAUGGACAAUCUCAAAUCUAUGAUGAAAGUCCAUCUUGUUACCCUUGAUGGCAACAACACGAUGCGUGCCUUGCUGCCCUUUCUGUCACUGGGAAAGGUCACCGCACGGUAUGAACCCAAAACCAAACACUUCUCCCAUUGCAAGAAUCAUAGAUCUAGUUGGCCAAACAAAACCCAAGACUCGGAGAGACUUACAAGGAUAUCAAAUCAUGCAUAUAAGAAAUCAGCAAAGACUCAAAUAUAAUUCAUAGAUAAUCUGAUCACAAAUCCACAAUUCAUCGGAUCUCGACAAACACACCGCCAACGAGGAUUACAUCGGAUAGAUAUCCAUGAAGAUCAUGGAGAACUUUGUAUUGAAGAUCCGAGAGAGAGAAGAAGCCAUCUAGCUACUAACUACGGACCCGUAGGUCUGAAGUGGACUACUCACGAGUCAUUGGAGGGGUGAUGAUGUUGAUGUAGAAGCCCUCCAGCUGCAAAGUCCCCUCCGGCAGGGCACCGGGAAGGGUCUUCAGAUGAGAUCUCGCGGAAACGGAAGCUUGCGGCGACGGAAAAGUGGUUUCGUGGACGCCCUGAUUUUUUCUGGGAUUUUAGGGAAUAUAUAGGCCAAAGAGCUAGGGCACGGGAGUGCCAAGGAGGCCACAAUCCUGGUCGCCGCGGGCCCCCUGGCUGUGGCGUCAGGGCUUGUGGGCUCCCUGUGGGCCUCUUGCCUUGGCCCUCAAGUCGCGCGAUCUUCUUUUGUUCUGGAAAAAUUUAUUUCGGGGAUUUUAUUCCGUCUGGACUCCGUUCCAAAAUCAGAUCUGAAAAGAGUCAAAAACACAGAAAAACAGGAACUGGCACUUGGCACUGUAGUAAUAAGUUAGUCCCAAAAAAGAUAUAAAAGGUAUAUAAAACAUCCAAAGUUGACAAGAUAACAGCAUGAAACCAUCAAAAAUUAUAGAUAAGUUUGAGACGUAUCAAUCGCACAGGAGGAAGCAUUAAGAAACGCGGUUGAUGUAGUGGAACGUCCUCACGUCCCACGAUCCGCCCCGGGAACCGUCCCACGAACCGUCCCGCGAUCCGUCUCACGAUCCGCUCCGAUCUAGUGCCGAACGGACGGCACCUCCGCGUUCAGCACACGUACAGCUCGACAAUGAUCUCGGCCUUCUUGAUCCAGGAAGAGAGACGGAGAGGUAGAUGAGUUCUCCGGCAACGUGAUGGCGCUCUGGAGGUUGGUGGUGAUCUUAUCUCAGCAGGGCUUCGCCCGAGCUCCGCACAAACGCGAUCUAGAGGAAAAACCGUGGAGGUAUGUGUUUGGGCUACCGUGGCAAAGUUUUCUCAAAUCGGCCCUAAUACCUCAGUAUAUAUAGGAGGGAGGGGAGGGACCUUGCCUUGAGGAUCAAGGAGCCCCAAGGGGUCGGCUGAAGUGGGGGGAGGAGGAUUCCUCCUCCAAUCCUAGUCCAACUAGGAUUGGAAGGUGGAGUCCUUCUCUAUUUUCCCACUUCCCCUUUUUUAUUUUCUCUUUGAUUUUCUUUCUCUCCUGUGCAGGGGCCUUCUUGGGCUUGCCCACCAGCCCACUAAGGGCUGGUGCGGCACCCCUAAGGCCUAUGGGCUUCCCCGGGGUGGGCUGCCCCCCCGGUGAACAUCCGGAACCCAUUCGUCACUCCCGGUACAUUCCUGGUAAUGCCGAAAACUUUCUGGUAAUCAAAUGAGGUCAUCCUAUAUAUCAAUCUUCGUCUCCAGACCAUUCUGGAAACCCUCGUGAUGACCGUGAUCUCAUUCGGGACUCCUAACAACAUUCGGUAAACAACCAUAUAACUCAAAUACGCAUAAAACAACGCCGAAUCUUAAGUUUGCAGACCGUGCGGGUUCGAGAACUAUGUAGACAUGACCCGAGGGACUCCUCGGUCAAUAUCCAAUAGCGGGACCUGGAUGCCCAUAUUGGAUCCUACAUAUUCUACGAAGAUCUUAUCGUUUGAACCUCAGUGCCAGGGAUUCAUAUAAUCCCGUAUGUCAUUCCCUUUGUCCUUCGGUAUGUUACUUGCCCGAGAUUCGAUCGUCAGUAUCCGCAUACCUAUUUUAAUCUCGUUUAUCGGCAAGUCUCUUUAUUCAUUCCGUAAUACAAGAUCCCGUGACUUACACUAAGUCACAUUACUUGCAAGGCUUGUGUCUGAUGUUGUAUUACCGAGUGGGCCCCAAGAUACCUCUCCGUCACACGGAGUGACAAAUCCAAGUCUUGAUCCAUACUAACUCAACGGACACCUUCGGAGAUACCUGUAGAGCAUCUUUAUAGUCACCCAGUUAGGUUGUGACGUUUGAUACACACAAAGCAUUCCUCCGGUGCCAGUGAGUUAUGUGAUCUCAUGGUCAUAGGAAUAAAUACUUGACAUGCAGAAAACAGUAGCAACAAAAUGACACGAUCAACAUGCUACGUCCAUUAGUUUGGGUCUAGUCCAUCCCCUUAUUCACCCAAUGAUGUGAUCCAGUUAUCAAGCAACAACACCUUGUACAUAGUCAGAAGACCCUGACUAUCCUUGAUCAACUGGCUAGCCAACUAGAGGCUUGCUAGGGAAAGUGUUUUGUCUAUGUAUCCACACAUGUAUCUAAGUCUUCAUUCAAUACAAUUAUAGCAUGGAUAAUAAACAUUAUCUUGAUAUAGGAAUUAUAACAAUAACUUAUUUAUCAUUGCCUCUAGGGCAUAAUUCUAAUAGUCUCCCACUUGCACUAGAGUCAAUAAUCUAACCCUCACAUCACCAUGCGAAUUACAUUGUAAUAAAUCUAACACCCAUACAGUUCUGGUGUUGAUCAUGCUUUGCCCGUGGAAGAGGUUUAGUUAGCGGGUCUGCCACAUUUAGAUCCGUGUGCACUUUGCAUAUAUUCACGUCCUCCUCCUCGACGUAGUCGCGGAUGAGGUUGAAGCGUCGUUUGAUGUGUCUCGUCUUCUUGUGAAACUGUGGUUCCUUUGCUAAGGCAAUGGCACCCGUGUUGUCACAAAAUAGGGUUAUUGGAUUCAGUGCGCUCGGCACCACUCCAAGAUCCAUCAUGAACUGCUUCAUCCAGACACCCUCCUUAGCUGCCUCCGAGGCAGCCAUGUACUCCGUUUCACAUGUAGAAUCAGCUAUGACACUUUGCUUGGAACUGCACCAACUUACCGCACCCCCAUUAAGAAUAAAUAUGUACCCGGUCUGCAACUUAGAGUCAUCCGGAUCUGUGUCAAAGCUUGCAUCGACGUAACCCUUUACGGCGAGCUCUUUGUCACCUCCAUAUACGAGAAACAUCUCCUUAGUCCUUCUCAGGUACUUCAGGAUAUUCUUGACCGCCGUCCAGUGAUCCACUCCUGGAUUACUCUGGAACCUGCCUGCCAUACUUAUGGCUAGGCUAACGUUCGGUCUAGUGCACAACAUUGCAUACAUGAUAGAACCUAUGGUUGAAGCAUAGGGGACGGAACUCAUUGUCUUUCGAUCUUCCUCAGUUGCUGGGCACUCAGUCUUACUCAAUUUUAUACAUUGUAAUACUGGCAAGAACCCUUUCUUGGACUGAUCCAUUUUGAACUUCUUCAAAACUUUAUCAAGGUAUGUGCUUUGUGAAAGUCCUAUCACGCGUUUCGAUCUAUCCCUAUAGAUCUUAAUGCCUAGAAUGUAAGGAGCUUCUCCUAGGUCCUUCAUAGAGAAACUUUUAUUCAAGUAACCUUUUAUGCUCUCCAAAAGCUCCACGUUGUUUCCAAUCAGCAAUAUGUCAUCCACAUAUAAUAUUAGAAACGCCACAGAGCUCCCACUCACUUUCUUGUAAAUACAAGAUUCUCCAACCACUUGUAUAAACCCAAAUGCUUUGAUCACCUCAUCAAAGCGUUUAUUCCAACUCCGAGAUGCUUGCACCAGUCCAUAAAUGGAUCGCUGGAGCUUGCACACUUUGUUAGCAUUUUUAGGAUCGACAAAACCUUCGGGUUGCAUCAUAUACAACUCUUCCUUAAGGAAAACGUUAAGGAACGCCGUUUUGACAUCCAUGUGCCAGAUUUCAUAAUCGAAAAAUGCAGCUAUUGCUAACAUGAUUCUGAUGGACUUAAGCAUCGCUACGGGUGAGAACGUCUCAUCGUAGUCAACUCCUUGAACUUGUGAAAAACCCUUUGCCACAAGUCGAGCUUUAUAAACGGUCACAUUACCGUCAGCGUCCGUCUUCUUCUUAAAGAUCCAUUUGUUCUGAAUAGCCUUGCGGCCUUCAGGUAGUACUUCCAAAGUCCACACUUUGUUUUCAUACAUAGAUCCUAUCUCGGAUUUCAUGGCCUCUAGCCAUUUGUUGGAAUCCGGGCUCAGAAUUGCUUCUUCAUAAUUCACAGGCUCAUUGUUGUCUAACAACAUAAUUGAUAAGAUGGGAUUACCGUACCACUCUGGAGCAGUACGCGAUCUCGUCGACCUGCGAGGUCCGAUAGGAAUUUGAUCCGGAGUUUCAUGAUCAUCAUCAUUAACUUCCUCCUCAACCGGCGUCGCAACGACAGGGGUUUCCCCUUGCCCUGCGCCACCAUCCAGAGGGAUGAGAGGUUCGGCAACCUCAUCAAGUUCUAUCUUCCUCCCACUCAAUUCUCUUGAGAGAAACUCCUUCUCGAGAAAACCUCCGUUCUUAGCAACAAACACUUUCCCUCGGAUUUGAGAUAGAAGGUAUACCCAACUGUCUCUUUUGGGUAACCUAUGAAGACGCACCUUUCCGCUUUGGGUUCCAGCUUUUCAGGAUGAAGCUUUUUGACAUAAGCAUCACAUCCCCAAACUUUAAGAAACGACAACUUUGGUCUUUUGUCAUACCACAGUUCGUGUGGUGUCGUCUCAACGGAUUUUGAUGGUGCCCUAUUUAAAGUGAAUGCAGCUGUUUCUAAUGCAUAACCCCAAAACGAUAACGGCAAAUCGGUAAGAGACAUCAUAGACCAUACCAUCUCUAAUAAAGUAGGAUUACGACGUUCGGACACACCAUUACGCUGUGGUGUUCCAUGCGGUGUCAACUGUGAAACAAUUCUACAUUGUCUUAAGUGAGCACCAAACUCGAAACUCAGAUAUUCACCCCCACGAUCAAACCGUAGGAACUUGAUCUUCUUGUUACGAUGAUUUUCAACUUGACUCUGAAAUUGCUUGAACUUUUCAAAUGUUUCAGACUUGUGCUUCAUCAAGUAUACAUAACCAUAUCUACUCAAAUCGUCAGUGAAGGUGAGAAAAUAAUGAUAUCCGCCGCCUGACUCCACACUCAUCGGACCACACACAUCGGUAUGUAUGAUUUCCAACAAGUCACUUGCACGCUCCAUUGUUCCGGAGAACGGAGUUUUAGUCAUCUUGCCCAUGAGGCAUGGUUCGCACGUGUCAAGUGAAUCAAAGUCAAGUAACUCCAAAAGUCCAUCCGUAUGGAGUUUCUUCAUGCGCUUUACACCAAUAUGACCUAAGUGGCAGUGCCAUAAAAACAUGGCACUAUCAUUGUUAACUCUAACUCUUUUGGUCUCAAUGUUAUGUAUAUGUGUAUUAUCACUAUCAAGAUUCAAUAUGAACAAUCCUCUCACAUUGGGUGCAUGACCAUAAAAUAUAUUACUCAUAGAAAUAGAACAACCAUUAUUCUUUGACUUAAAUGAGUAACCGUCUCGCAAUAAAAAGAUCCAGAUAUAAUGUUCAUGCUUAACGCAGGCACUAAAUAACAUUUGUUCAAGUUCAUAACUAAUCCUGAUGGUAAAUGAAGUGAAACUGUGCCAACGGCGAUUGCAUCAACCUUGGAACCAUUUCCCACGCGCAUCGUCACUUCAUCCUUUGCCAACCUUCGCUCAUUCCGCAGUUCCUGUUUCGAGUUGCAAAUAUGAGCAACACAACCGGUAUCGAAUACCCAGGCACUAGUACGACAGCUGGUUAAGUACACAUCAAUAACAUGUAUAUCAAAUAUACCUGAUUUUUCUUUGGCCGCCUUCUUAUCAGCCAGAUAUUUGGAGUAGUUGCGCUUCCAGUGACCCAUACCCUUGCAAUAAAAGCACUCCUUUUCAGGCUUAGGUCCAGCUUUGGGUUUCUUCGUCGGAUUGGCAACAGGCUUGCCGCUCUUCUUCGAAUUGCCCUUCUUUCCUUUGCCGUUUCUCUUGAAACUAGUGGUCUUAUUCACCAUCAACACUUGAUGCUCUUUACGGAGUUCUGACUCUGCGACUUUCAGCAUCGCGAAUAACUCGCCGGGUGACUUGUUCAUCCCUUGCAUGUUAUAGUUCAACACAAAGCCCUUAUAGCUUGGCGGCAGUGAUUGAAGAAUUCUGGCAGUGAUAACCUCUUGCGAGAGUUCAAUCCCCAGCUCAGCUAGACGGUUUGAGUACCCAGACAUUUUGAGCACAUGUUCACUAACAGAUGAACUCUCCUCCAUCUUGCAAGCAUAGAAUUUAUCGGAGGUCUCAUACCUCUCGAUCCGGGCGUUCUUCUGAAAGAUAAACUUCAACUCCUGGAACAUCUCAUAUGCUCCAUGACGCUCAAAGCGACGUUGAAGUCCCGGCUCUAAGCCAUACAAGACUGCACAUUGAACUACUGAGUAGUCCUCCUUACGUGUUAACCAAGCGUUCUUAACAUCUUGGUCAGCCGUGGCGGGUGGUUCAUCUCCUAGCGCAGCAUUAAGGACAUAAUCCUUCUUCCCAGCUUGCAGGAGCAACUUAAGAUUACGAGCCCAGUCUACAAAGUUGCUUCCAUCAUCUUUCAACUUAGCUUUCUCUAGGAACGUAUUAAAAUUCAAGGUGACUGUCGCGUGAGCCAUUGAUCUACAACACAAAUAUAUUCAAAGUGGACUUAGACUAUGUUCAAUAUAAUUGGAGUUUAACUAAUAAAAUUACUUGCUAAACUCCCACUCANUCCAUCACCAAAGCACCAGCACGAUCUUCUGUCACCGGCGCCACACCAUGAUUUCCAUCAACGUGUCGCCAUCGGGGUUGUCGUGCUACUCAUGCUAUUACUACUAAAGCUACAUCCUAGCAAAAUAGUAAACGCAUCUGCAAGCACAAACAUUAGUUUAAAGACAACCCUAUGGCUCCUGCCGGUUGCCGUACCAUCGACGUGCAAGUCGAUGCUAACUAUUACAACAUGAUCAUCUCAUACAUCCAAUAUAUCACAUCACACCGUCGGCCAUAUCACAUCAAAAGCAUACCCUGCAAAAACAAGUUAGACGUCCUCUAAUUGUUGUUGCAUGUUUUACGUGGUGACCAUGGGUUUCUAGUAGGAUCGCAUCUUAAUUACGCAAACACCACAACGGAGAUGUAUGAAUUGCUAUUUAACCUCAUCCAAGGACCUCCUCGGUCAAAUCCGAUUCAACUAAAGUUGGAGAAACCGACACUCGCCAGUCAUCUUUGAGCAACGGUGUUGCUCGUAGCGAUGAAACCAGUCUCUCGUAAGCGUACGAGUAAUGUCGGUCCGAGCCGCUUCGAUCCAACAAUACCGCGGAAUCAAGAAAAGACUAAGGAGGGCAGCAAAUCGCACAUCACCGCCCACAAAAACUUUUGUGUUCUACUCGAGAUGACAUCUACGCAUGAACCUAGCUCUGAUACCACAGUUGGGGAACGUCGCAUGGAAAACAAAAAAUUUCCUACGCGCACGAAGACCUAUCAUGGUGAUGUCCAUCUAUAGAGGGGAUUUCCGAUCUACAUACCCUUGUAGAUCGCACAACAGGAAGCGUGAAGAAACGCGGUUGAUGUAGUGGAACGUCCUCACGUCCCUCGAUCCGCCCCGCGAACCGUCCCACGAACCGUCCCGCGAUCCGUCUCACGAUCCGCUCCGAUCUAGUGCCGAACGGACGACACCUCCGCGUUCAACACACGUACAGCUCAACGAUGAUCUCGGCCUUCUCGAUCUAGCAAGAGAGACGGAGAGGUAGAUGAGUUCUCCGGCGGCGUUACAGCGCUCCGGAGGUUGGUGGUGAUCUUAUCUCAGCAGGGCUCCGCCCGAGCUUCGCAGAAACGCGAUCUAGAGGAAAAACCGUGGAGGUAUGUGGUCGGGCUGCCGUGACAAAGUUGUCUCAAAUCAGCCCUAAUACCUCAGUAUAUAUAGGAGGGAGUGGAGGGACCUUUCCUUGAGGCUCAAGGAGCCCCAAGGGGUCGGCCGAAGUGGGGGGAGGAGGAUUCCUCCUCCAAUCCUAGUCCAACUAGGAUUGGAAGGUGGAGUCCUUCUCUAUUUUCCCACUUCCCUUUUUUCUUUAUUUUCUCUUUGAUUUUCUUUCUCUCCUGCGCAGGGGCCUUCUUGGGCUUGCCCACCAGACCACUAAGGGCUGGUGCGGCACCCCUAAGGCCUAUGGGCUUGCCCGGGGUGGGCUGCCCCCCCCCCCCGGUGAACAUCCGGAACCCAUUCGUCACUCCCGGUACAUUCUCGGUAAUGCCGAAAACUUUCCGGUAAUCAAAUGAGGUCAUCCUAUAUAUCAAUCUUCGUCUCCAGACCAUUCCGGAAACCCUCGUGAUGUCCGUGAUCUCAUCCGGGACUCCGAACAACAUUCGGUAACCAACCAUAUAACUCAAAUACAUAUAAAACAACGCCGAACCUUAAGUGUGCAGACCCUGCGGGUUCGAGAACUAUGUAGACAUGACCCGAGGGACUCCUCGGUCAAUACCCAAUAGCGGGACCUAGAUGCCCAUAUUGGAUCCUACAUAUUCUAUGAAGAUCUUAUCGUUUGAACCUCAGUGCGAGGAUUCAUAUAAUCCCGUAUGUCAUUCCCUUUGUCCUUCGGUAUGUUACUUUCCCAAGAUUCUAUCGUCAGUAUCUGCAUACCUAUUUUAAUCUCGUUUACCGGCAAGUCUCUUUACUCGUUCCGUAAUACAAGAUCCCGUGACUUACACUAAGUCACAUUGCUUGCAAGGCUUGUGUGUGAUGUUGUAUUAUCGAGUGGGCCCUGAGAUACCUCUCCGUCACACGGAGUGACAAAUCCCAAUCUUGAUCCAUACUAACUCUACGGACACCUUCAGAGAUACGUGUAGAGCAUCUUUAUAGUCACCCAGUUACGUUGUGACGUUUGAUACACACAAAGCAUUCCUCCGGUGCCAGUGAGUUAUAUGAUCUCAUGGUCAUAGGAAUAAAUACUUGACAUGCAGAAAACAGUAGCAACAAAAUGACACAAUCAACAUGCUAUGUCUAUUAGUUUGGGUCUAGUCCAUCACAUGAUUCACCCAAUGAUGUGAUCCAGUUAUCAAGCAACAACACCUUGUACAUAGUCAGAAGACCCUGACUAUCCUUGAUCAACUAGCUAGCCAACUAGAGCCUUGCUAGGGACAGUGUUUUGUCUAUGUAUCCACACAUGUAUCUAAGUCUUCAUUCAAUACAAUUAUAGCAUGGAUAAUAAACGAUUAUCUUGAUACAGGAAUUAUAGCAAUAACUUAUUUAUCAUUGCGUCUAGGGCAUAAUUCCAACAUGCAACUCCCCCAAGCUUGGCACAAGCCAAGGGGAUUGCCCAUACCAAUGCUCAGUUGUCUUCCUUUGGUGCUGAUGGUGGAGUUGUUGCACCAUGAGUUUGAUCCUCCGUCUUCCAAGGCAUAGGUGCUCCAUCAUGGAAAGAUGAACGAGUCUCCGGAAUCCUCAAAUCUGCAGCCAACCGUAUUGAUUUAAAUCUAUACUCAUACUCACAGUUUUGGUUCUGCAGGUCAUAGAUCUGGCCCUCGAGUUGAUCAAUCCUGUCAUAGAGCCUGGAGAGAUGCUUCCCAAUGUCAUUGGCAUCGAUCCUGUGCUUGUUGGUGAACUCCGUGAUCAUCAUGUGGUUGGCGUUGAGUCCACGCUCCACCAUCCCUUGGCACUUGAGGACUUGUUGCUCCAUUGCUUCGAGCCUCAUCUCCACGCUUCCGGUCUUCUUAGGCCCCUCAACAUCACGGAUGUGCAACAUCCCCUCACGCAUCUUGAUAGAUUGAGGGUAUUGCAGUACUUCUGUGAGGUAGGGAUUGAUGACCUUCUCGAAGAUCUUGUCCUUCGGAGCUUUGAGGGAAGUCAUGUCGAUCUAGAUCUGCAACAGAAAUAGGCUCGAAACGAAAAACAGAGGAAAUCUGCGUGAUGCAGGGGUCAGACCAAACGAAAGUAUAUAUAAUGAUUUUUUCAGACAAGAAGGAGUACCCCGCACAAAAACGGAGUCCAGGAGGCGCACGAGGUGGCCACAAGCCCUCACGGCGCGGCCAGGGGGUGGGCCCGCGCCGUGCAGGCUUGUCGCCUCCUCGCGCACUUUCCAGACUACUUCCAAUUUUUGUAUUUUUUAAAAAAUUCCAAAACAGAGAAAAUUUCCUACUAAAAAAGUUUUGGACUCUGUUUUCUUACGGAAUCACAUACCUCUUCGUUUUCGGAGUCUGAAACAGGCUGAUAAAUAUCCCUUAGGUAUUCUUCCGGAGUUCUGGUAUUGAUGAUAUUGCUUUCAACAUUUAUGGGAGUACCUCAGAUAUAAUGCUUGAUUCUCUGACCAUUUACAACUCUCGGACAAUUACCUUCCGUGUUGUUGAUCUUGGUAGCACCGGAACGAUAUACUUCCUCAACAACAUAGGGACCUUCCCAUUUAGGGAGAAGCUUGCCUGCAAAGAAUCUUAAACGAGAGUUAUAUAGCAAGACAUAAUCACCUACAUUGAACUCACACUUUUGUAUCCUCUUAUCAUGCCACCUCUUAACCUUCUCUUUGAACAGCUUGGCAUUCUCAUAUGCCUGAGUUCUCCACUCAUCAAGCGAGCUAAUAUCAAAUAACCUCUUCUCACCGGCAAGUUUGAAAUCAAAGUUGAGCUCUUUGAUUGCCCAAUAAGCUUUGUGCUCUAGCUCAAGAGGUAAAUGACAUGCUUUCCCAUACACCAUUUUGUACGGAGACAUGCCCAUGGGAUUCUUAUAGGCAGUUCUAUAAGCCCACAGUGCAUCAUCGAGCUUCUUAGACCAAUUCUUUCUAGACCUGUUGACAGUCUUUUGCAGAAUUAGUUUAAUCUGUCUGUUGCUUAGCUCUACUUGACCACUUGAAUGAGGGUGACAGGGAGACGCAAUUCUAUGGUUGACAUCGUACUUAGCAAGCGUUUUACGGAAAGCACCAUAAAUGAAAUGUGAACCACCGUCGGUCAUUAGAUAUCUAGGAACUCCAAAUCUAGGGAAGAUAACUUCUUUCAGCAUCUUGAUAGAGGUGUUGUGAUCAGCACUACUAGUGGGGAUAGCUUCUACCCACUUAGUGACGUAAUCAACAGCAACUAGGAUAUGAGUAUACCCGUUGGAUUUUGGAAAGGGUCCCAUAUAAUCAAAGCCCAAGACAUCAAAUGGUUCAAUGACAAGUGAAUAGUUCAUAGGCAUUUCCUGACGUUUGCUAAUAUUACCUAUUCUUUGACAUUCGUCACAAGACAAGACAAACUUACGUGCAUCCUUGAAGAGAGUGUGCCAAUAGAAACCUGAUUGCAAUACCUUGUGUGCAGUUCUAUCUCCCGCAUGGUGUCCUCCGUAGGCCUCGGAGUGACACUUCUGUAGGAUAUGUCCCUGUUCAUGUUCAGGUACACAACGUCUAAUAACACCAUCUACUCCUUCCUUAUAAAGGUGAGCAUCAUCCCAAAAGUAAUGUCUCAAGUCAAAGAAGAAUUUCUUCUUUUGCUGGUACGUGAAACUAGGUGGUAUGUAUUUGGCAACGAUAUAGUUUGCAUAAUCAGCAUACCACGGUGCACUACGUGAAGCAUUGAUGACAUUCAGUUGCUCAUCGGGAAAGCUAUCAUCAAUAGGUUGUGGGUCAUCAAGAACGUUCUCCAACCUAGACAAGUUAUCUGCUACGGGGUUAUCAGCACCCUUUCUGUCGACAACGUGCAAAUCAAAUUCUUGUAUCAAGAGAACCCAUCUGAUAAGUCUAGGUUUAGCGUCCUUCUUCUCCAUGAGGUAUUUAAUAGCAGCGUGAUCAGUGUGAAUAGUGACUUUGGAAUCAACUAUGUAAGACCUGAACUUUUCACAUGCAAACACGACUGCUAAAAAUUCCUUCUCCGUAGUGGCAUAGUUUCUCUCGGCACUGUCUAGAGUUUUACUAGCGUACUGAAUAACAUUCAACUUCUUAUCGACUCUUUUCCCUAGAACAACGCCAACAGCAUAAUCACUAGCGUCACACAUGAUCUCAAAAGGCAAGUUCCAAUCAGGUGGUUGAACAAUAGGUGCAGUUGUCAAAGCCCUCUUAAGUAUUUCGAAGGCUUCCUCACAAUCAUCAUAAAAAAAAGGAAUAUCCUUUUGCAAGAGAUGGUAAGAGGCCUAGAAAUCUUAGAGAAGUCUUUAAUGAACCUUCUAUAGAAACCAGCAUGACCAAGGAAACUUCUUAUACCUUUGAUAUCUGUGGGGUAUGGCAUUUUCUCGAUUGCAUCAACCUUAGCCUUAUCGACUUCAAUACCUCUUUCAGAAAUUUUAUGUCCUAAGACGAUGCCUUCAUUAACCAUAAAGUGGCGCUUCUCCCAAUUCAAGACAAGAUUGGUGUCUUUACAUCUCUGUAAGACUCGAUCAAGGUUGCUGAGGCAAUCAUCAAAGGAAGACCCGUAAACGGAAAAGUGAUCCAUGAAAACCUUGACAAUCUUUUCACAAAAGUCAGAGAAUAUAGCCAUCAUACAUCUUUGAAAGGUGACAGGUGCAUUACAUAAGCCAAAAGGCAUACGUCUAUAAGCAAAGGUACCGAAAGGGCAGGUGAAAGUGGUUUUCUCCUGAUCGGAUUGUGCAACUGGUAUUUGGGAGAAACCAGAAUAACCGUCUAGAAAGCAGAAGUGUGUGUGUUUAGACAGCCUUUCUAGCAUUUGGUCGAUAAAAGGCAGAGGGUAAUUAUCUUUCCUAGUGGCUUUAUUCAACUUCCUAAAAUCGAUCACCAUCCUAUAGCCAGUAAGAAUCCUCUGUGGGAUCAAUUCAUCAUUAUCAUUAGGGACAACGGUAAUACCUCCCUUAAUAUGGGACGUAAUGCACCGGACUCACCCAAUCGCUAUGAGCAACACGAUAGAUAAUACUCGCUUCCAGGAGCUUUAGUAUUUCUUUCCUUACUACCUCUUUCAUCUUAGGAUUUAAUCUCCUUUGAUGAUCAGCAACUGGUUUGAAAUCAGGAUCAGUUUUGAUUUUGUGCUGGCAUAGAGUGGGACUAAUGCCCUUAAGAUCAUCAAGAGUAUAUCCAAUAGCAACACGGUGCUUCCUCAGAGUUUUUAAUAACUUCUUUUCUUCAUGCUCUGAGAGGCUAGCACUAAUUAUAACAGGAUAUAUCUCUUCUUCUUCAAGAUAGGCAUACUUAAGAGUAUCAGGCAACUAUUUAAGCUCGAACACAGGAUCACCCUUUUGUGGGGGCGGAUCCCCAAGCAGUUCAACAUGCAAGUUAUUCUUAAGGAUAGGAUAUUGUUCUAAGACAACUCUAUCUAUCUCAUCCCUUUCAUCCAUAUGCAUAUCAUUUUCAUGCUCAAGCAAGUAUUGCUCUAAGGGAUCAGUAGGAGGCACAGCAAUAGAAGCUAAGGCAAUAGUUUCAUCUCUACUAGGCAACUCCUUUUCAUGAGGUUGUCUACCAAACUAAGAGAAAUUGAACUCGUGUGACAUACCUUCAAAGCCAACAGUGACAGUUUGCUUCUCACAAUGAGAAAAGGUCUACCAAAUAUGAUGGGACAAAAGCUAUCUUGUGCGGUAGCAAGAACGAGGAAAUCAAUAGGAUACUUCAUUUUACCACACAAGACUUCAACAUCCCUAACAAUUCCCACAGGGUAGAUAGUAUCUCUACUGGCAAGCUGAAUAGUGACAUCAAUGGGCUCUAUCUCAAGAGGUGCAAUCUCAUCUUUGAUUUCAUCAUAUAAGGAUUGAGGUAUUGCACUAACACUAGCACCCACGUCACAUAAGCCAUGAUAACAAUGAUCCCCUAUCUUAACAGAAACAACAGGCAUGCUAACAACAUGCCUAUGUUUGUCUCUAGCGUGAGGUUUAGCAAUUCUAGCAACAUCUUCACAGAAGUGAAUAUUAUGUCCCUCAACAUCGUCGGACAGAAGAUAUUUGAUGAUAGCAAUGCUAGGUUCAACUCUAAUUUGCUCAGGGGGUGUAGGUGUUCUAAUAUAGCCCCUACGUAUCACAAUUGAAGCUUUAGAAUGAUCCUUUAUCCUAACAAGGAAAGGUGGUUUCUCAAUUUAAGCACUGGGAACAAUAGGAUCAUUAUAGGAAAUGACUUUCUCUUCAACUGGAGUGGGUUUAACUACAUUGACUUCUAAAGGAGGAUGAUGUUUAAACCACUUCUCUUUGGGGAGAUCAAUAUGAGCAGCAAAGGAUUCACACAAUGAAGCUACUAUCUCAGAGUCAAGUCCAUACUUAGCGCUAAAGUCACAAAAAGUAUUUGUCUCAACAAUGGAUUUAACGCAAUCAAACGUGAAAUUCAUACCUGACUCCUUACCUUCAAGCUCCCAAUCUUCAGAGUUGCGUUUAAUUCUCUCCAAUAAAUCCCACUUGAAGUCAAUAUCUCUCUUCAUAAAAGAACCGGUACAAGAAGUGUCAAGCAUGGUGCGAUCAUCAUGAGAAAGCUGAGCAUAGAAAUUCUGAAUGAUAAUUUCUCUCUAGAGCUCAUGAUUGGGGCAUGAAUAUAGCAUUGAUUUAAGCCUCCCCCAAGCUUGAGCGAUGCUUUCUCUGUCACGAGGCCAAAAAUUAUAAAUAUAAUUCCGAUCACGAUGUACUAAAUGCAUAGGAUAAAACUUUUGAUGAAAUUCCAAUUUCAACCGACUGUAGUCCCAUGGUCCAGUAUCAUCACAUAGCCUAUACCAUGUCAACGCCUUAUCCUUCAAAGAUAAAGGAAAGACCUUCUUCUUGACCUCAUCCUCGGGCACACCUGCAAGCUUAAAUAAACCACAAACUUCAUCUACAUAGAUCAGAUUCAAGUCUGGAUGUGAUGUUCCAUCUCCUGUAAAAGGAUUAGCCAACAGUUUCUCAAGCACACCCGAAGGAAAUUCAAAGCAAAUAUUUUUCAGUAGGUGCAGCGGGUUGAGGAGAAACUAUUUGUUCUUCCGUUCGAGGUGAAGAUACCCCUAACAAGCCCCUCAAAGGAUUAGUAUCCAUAGUGACAAGUGACAAUAAAUUUCAGCACACUAUAUGAACGUUUCCUUACCAAGUUCCACUUACCAAAGGCGCUUCACUCCCCGGCAACGGUGCCAGAAAAGAUUCUUGAUGACCCACAACUAUAGGGGAUCCNNNNNNNNNNNNNNNNNNNNNNNNNNNNNNNNNNNNNNNNNNNNNNNNNNNNNNNNNNNNNNNNNNNNNNNNNNNNNNNNNNNNNNNNNNNNNNNNNNNNGCAUGCAAGCUUUAGAAUGAUCCUUUAUCCUAACAAGGAAAGGUGGUUUCUCAAUUUAAGCACUGGGAACAAUAGGAUCAUUAUAGGAAAUGACUUUCUCUUCAACUGGAGUGGGUUUAACUACAUUGACUUCUAAAGGAGGAUGAUGUUUAAACCACUUCUCUUUGGGGAGAUCAAUAUGAGCAGCAAAGGAUUCACACAAUGAAGCUACUAUCUCAGAGUCAAGUCCAUACUUAGCGCUAAAGUCACAAAAAGUAUUUGUCUCAACAAUGGAUUUAACGCAAUCAAACGUGAAAUUCAUACCUGACUCCUUACCUUCAAGCUCCCAAUCUUCAGAGUUGCGUUUAAUUCUCUCCAAUAAAUCCCACUUGAAGUCAAUAUCUCUCUUCAUAAAAGAACCGGUACAAGAAGUGUCAAGCAUGGUGCGAUCAUCAUGAGAAAGCUGAGCAUAGAAAUUCUGAAUGAUAAUUUCUCUCUAGAGCUCAUGAUUGGGGCAUGAAUAUAGCAUUGAUUUAAGCCUCCCCCAAGCUUGAGCGAUGCUUUCUCUGUCACGAGGCCAAAAAUUAUAAAUAUAAUUCCGAUCACGAUGUACUAAAUGCAUAGGAUAAAACUUUUGAUGAAAUUCCAAUUUCAACCGACUGUAGUCCCAUGGUCCAGUAUCAUCACAUAGCCUAUACCAUGUCAACGCCUUAUCCUUCAAAGAUAAAGGAAAGACCUUCUUCUUGACCUCAUCCUCGGGCACACCUGCAAGCUUAAAUAAACCACAAACUUCAUCUACAUAGAUCAGAUUCAAGUCUGGAUGUGAUGUUCCAUCUCCUGUAAAAGGAUUAGCCAACAGUUUCUCAAGCACACCCGAAGGAAAUUCAAAGCAAAUAUUUUUCAGUAGGUGCAGCGGGUUGAGGAGAAACUAUUUGUUCUUCCGUUCGAGGUGAAGAUACCCCUAACAAGCCCCUCAAAGGAUUAGUAUCCAUAGUGACAAGUGACAAUAAAUUUCAGCACACUAUAUGAACGUUUCCUUACCAAGUUCCACUUACCAAAGGCGCUUCACUCCCCGGCAACGGUGCCAGAAAAGAUUCUUGAUGACCCACAACUAUAGGGGAUCAAUCGUAGUCCUUUCGAUAAGUAAGAGUGUCGAACCCAACAAGGAGCAGAAGGAUCUGACAAGUGGUUUUCAGCAAGGUAAAAUCUGCAGGCACUGAAAUUGUCGGUAACAAGUGAUUGUGUGGUGAGAUGAAUCGUAGCAAGCAACAAGUAACAAAAGUAGCAACGGUGCAGCAAAAUGGCCCAAUCCCUUUUAUAUCAAGGGACAAGCCUGGACAAAGUCUUAUAGGAGGAAAAACACUCCCGAGGACACACGGGAAUUUCUGUCAUGCUAGUUUCAUCAUGUUCAUAUGAUUCGCGUUCGUUACUUUGAUAGUUUGAUAUGUGGGUGGACCGGCGCUUGGGUACUGCCCUUACUUGGACAAGCAUCCCACUUAUGAUUAACCCCUCUCGCAAGCAUCCGCAACUACGAAAGAAGAAUUAAGACAAAGUCUAACCAUAGCAUUAAACUAGUGGAUCCAAAUCAGCCCCUUGCGAAGCAACGCAUAAACUAGGGUUUAAGCUUCUAUCACUCUAGUAACCCAUCAUCUACUUACUACUUCCCAAUGCCUUCCUGUAGGCCCAAAUAAUGGUGAAGUGUUAUGUAGUCGACGUUCACAUAACACCACUAGAGGAAAAACAACACACAACAUAUCAAAUUACCGAACGAAUACCAAAUUCACAUGACUACUAUUAGCAUGACUUAUCCCAUGUCCUCAGGAACAAAAGUAACUACUCACAAAGCAUAAUCAUAUUCAUGACCAGAGAGGUAAUGAGUAGCAUCAAGGAUCUAAACAUCAACUAGCAUCAACUACAAAGAGUAAUCAACGCUACUAGCAACCUUACAAGUACCAAUCGGAGUCGCGAGACGGAGAUUGGUUACAAGUGAUGAACUAGGGUUUGGAGAUGAGAUGGUGCUGAUGAAGAUGUUGAUGGUGAUGAGUCCCAUCCGAUGAGAGGACUGUUGGUGAUGACGAUGGCGAUGAUUUCCCCCUCUGGGAGGGAAGUUUCUCCGACAGGAUCGUCCUGCCGGAGCUAUAGCUUCGUUCUGCUCAAGUUCCGCCUCGUGGUAGCGACGAAACCACGAAAAAGCUCCUCCUUGAUUUUUUCCUAGACGAAACCCUCCAUAUAGCAAAAGAGGGGGGCAAGUGGGCCAGCAGGGUGCCCACAAGCCCCCAUGGCGCGGCCUGGGGGGGGGGGCGUGGCCGCGCUGUGCAGGCUUGUGGCCACCCCCUGGCGCCCCUCUGGCACUUCUUCGGCCCAGUAUUUUUGAUAAAUCGGAAAAAAAAAAUCCUCGUUGAUUUUUACGGCGUUUGGAGUUGCGCAGAAUAGGUAUCUCAAACUUGCUCCACUUUCAGGCCAGAAUUCCAGUUGCCGAUAUUCUCCCUCUUCAUGUAAACCUUGCAAAAUUAGAGAGAAAAGGCAUAAGAAUUGUACCGUGAAGUGAAAUAACAGCCCAAGAAGCGAUAAAUAUCAACAUGAAAACAUGAUGCAAAAUGGACGUAUCAGCGGUUGAGUUUCAUCUCCCGCAUCGUGUGAUGCAUCAAUUUGGGUUGUUUCAGCCACACCCACCGGAGUGGGUGGACACCGACACACAACUUCACAGGUAACAAAAUCAUGCACAAUAAAUAACUACUGAUGGGUUUUGUUUUUAGUGUUGAGCAAGCUACUGAUGGGUUUUGUAAAAAGCAGGUUGGAUAGGAGGAGGCAGCGAAAGAUCAAGGAUUGGCAUAAGCAUCAUAAGAACUAUGUCAUCAUGUUCGAGCAAAGUGUGCAGGCAGCUACGAGUACGCAAGGAACCCAGCACCGCGAGCAUUGUCCGCUUGCGUUCAACAACUACGUAAGAUGGUUUCAGGAGAGUACUCGCGUCGAGAUUUGUCCGUCGGCUUACGAGGAGGACAUAUUGGAAGAAUCCACUGAGUACGAUGCACUUGCCCAUGGCGAAUACAACAAGCUAAUUCGCGAAGGGUACCAAACUUCCUUCGCCCCUGUCCUGAACUUUGUGGUAAGUGUGCUCACCUAUGUUAAGUAUGAACGCUAGUACACAUAUUCACUUGCCUUACAUGUCAUUUUCUUGUGAUCAUAGCGCAAAGAGGUCAGGAAACAAGCUGAUGAGUCCGAAGCUAUUCUAGACAAGACACCUGGAGGAAAAAAGGGAGAAUCUGCACUUCGUCUUUUCAUAAAGGUGUUGUGUCAUUAUUAAGAUUUUGCCGGCGAAUGCAACAUACGGUACCUUAUAUAUGUCAUUUAUAUUUGAAUCUAACAGGAACAGGGCAAGAAGUUGCGGCGCCUAUCCAACAUUUUAGGUUGCUGUGACCCUGAAUAUGUUUCACCUUUGAGAUCCGGUUCAUCCCAAAGAAAUACUCUAGACGAUUCAACUUCUUCGGGGGCUCGUAUGGACGAUGGUGACAUUACCUCGGCAGCUCAUUUAGAGGACGAUGUUGACACUCCAGAGGUAUGACAUAGCCAUCAUACAUUGUGCACUUUUAACCUUCGUAUGUAUGACGAUAUCGUUUUCGCAUCAUAGGUUGCGGACGAAAUGAUGUUGAAGGCUUUCCAAUGCUCCGCUUACAUGUUGAAGCCUAGGAAGAAAUUUAGGCGGUACUCACCGGAUGACUAUGCGCACAAAGGAAAGAACCCGGUCGUCGGGGGCUCUCGUUUGUCAAGGAUGAGAAGCAUGGACGAUGAGGAUGACGAUGAGUUGGAUGAACCGGAGCAAUUUCUAGUUGUGAGACGAAAGAAGCUAGCUUCUAAGAGGGGACAAGGCCCCAAGAUGUGAACCGGAGCCAUUUGGAGUUGUGAAGCAUUUGCUUACCGUGGGAGUUGUCGUGGGAGUUGCACUUGUGUUGUGAACCAUUUGCUUACCGUGGGAGUUGUGAACCACUUGCUAUGAAUUGUGGGUGUUGCACUUCUAAGAGGGUUUAAUGCUAUGAAUUGUGAACCAUUUGCACGUCUAGACAAACAUACGAUGUUUCAAACAUCCUGAAAUUUGACAUUUAGACAAAGUGUAUAAUACACAAAUUUGAUAGACAAACAAUUAGAAAUAUUAUUCUUCAUGAAUCAGCAUGCCUCUUUUAUUUAAACGUAAAUCGGUAUGGCACAAAAUACAAAUAUCAAGCCAUCUUUCAUUUCUGUAGCAUAGCAUAAAUUAUAUAUUCUCUUACCAAUAUACACCAUUUUUUGAUAUGUAGUUUCCAAACAAACAGAAUCUCCCACAAGUGAAUUUCUGUAUAUGCAUGAAGUGUUCAGGCUGACUUCAGGCCAUCGUAUUUUUUGUCAGAUAUAUAAUGGUUCAGAAUUCGCAAGUCAUAUUAUUAUAAUAUAAUCCAAUAGAAGCUCGAAUCCCCUUGUUGGACAAUAAAAAUUUAAAGGGUUCGUCAUUAUUCUCCAUUUGCGUAGACACGAAUGCAAAUACAAUUUUUGUACCAAUAAAAUUCAAAAAACGACUAUCGUUAUGAGAAAACCAAGUCCUCAUCCAUAAAGGUGAGAAGCCGUCAUUGUGAGACUGCACAGAUAACAACCUCAUGGGACUAUGAAGACUAAAAUCUGAAACAAACUGCAUAGCAUCUUGUCAAUGACAUUCUUCAAGAAAAAAACCCUAUUAGAAAUGCUUAUGUUAAGGAAACGAUAACAGGACCAAAGUAGGGCGAGACACUCACAGUUGUAAUGAUUAUACCUCGCAUCCACACUUGAAUCUUGGAGUUGCUGGUUGUUGAUAUUGAUUUCAUGAACACAAUUUUUAAGUGCAGCCAUGUUGCCCUUCUUACUGUUAUGUGGAAUCGAAAGAUUGAAAUCAUUCCUGAGCAUGGGAUUUAUGUGCAGCCUUGUCCCCUUUCACUGUUCUACGGAUCAAAAAUUCAGAACGAAAAGCAACAAGAUCUUGAGAUACAUCAUAUAGCAUCAGGAGAAAAAAUGGCUUAAAUUUGAGAAGGAACAUAAACAGACAUGCAGUAAGCCUGAAGCAAUAACAAAUUCAAGGUCCCAGAUUAUGAGUAACUAAAUUCACAAAAAAAGAAGAUUAUGAGUAAGUAAUGCUUAAUUACAACCUCAUGAAAAUGGUAUCAAUGCGGCUAAAGUUCAGGGAAAACAAUUCUUACAUUCUAACAUAUUCUCUGCACUAAGGCUAACUGAUGCAGUGAACACACAUCAUGUUACAACUUGAAUCUUGUGGCUCGCUUUUUUGUAUUUUUACUACAUAGUUUGUAUAUGCGCAAUAAGAAGAUUCCAUGUCGUUUUUGUCCAAACAAAUAGUCCAGUUCUAAUAUUCUCUUAACAAAACAAAAAUGCAGCUCAGAUGACAUUAAAAACAUAAAUCUUCACUUCCGAGGUAAAGAAGUAUACAAAGAAGUGUGAUCCACAUACCUCUGAUCACCAAAACAGAAAUCAGGGAGGAUAACAUAGUGUCCUCAUAGUUGUGUCAUUUGUGUCAUUUGUUGCUAAGUUGGAGGUCAGUAUUGACAUAGAAGUUAAUUAGUGGAGUUAGAUAGAACUGCUAGCAUUUAGAUCUUAUUAUAUAUGAAAUUAUAGCACAUUGGUCUGAUAAUCUUAUGGUGUUGAACCCAAAUGUUGAAUUGUUCAGCAAUUCAUAUCCAAGACGUCAAAGUAAGUACAAACACCCAUUUUAGUUACAUAGAUACAGAGGAUCCAUUAGCGAUUCCAAAUAGGCUGCCCAACCAAAUACACCCCCCUAGAGUAGAAGGAAGAUGCUUACAUGUAAUUACAAUAUUAAGAUAAACUUAUCCUGCGAACUGAAAAGCCAUGACCUACUAAUUAGCUAGUUCUAAAAUGGUCCGUUACAAUAUGUAAAAAUACGUCUAGUAUUGCCAGGAAACAGAACUAUAAGGAAAUGCAUAAAUGAACGUUUACCUUUAUGGUUCUGGUGAUGCACGUGCACGAACGCUACCUCCUCAUUUCAUUAAAACUUCUUGGGCCUCGCGCAAUUUGUCGAAGGUAAAACACGGGUCUUCAUCCGCCGCCGGCGACCAAAACGAUUAGCCACGCCACCACACCUCUCUUUUCUUUUCUCUCUUCCUUCAUUCUCUAUUAACCGGUGCAACCGUACAUGAGACAUCACGCCGCCAUCGAAAUCGCCUGCAACCGCCGCCGCCGCCCCAAAUCCGGUCGCCGCCGCCUAUACCCAACACCGACAGAAGUGUCGGUGUCCUGCCGAGAUCCUCCGUGUCGCCUCGCUUCGUCGCAAGUUGUCGUCGCCGUCGCCUUCCACGGAUCCGGCGAGAUGCGCCGCGAACACCUGGAUCCCACAUCCCCGACCGCCUCGAGCCGCGUCACCCACACUCCCGCCCGACCCAGCAGUCGCGGACUCCGUGCUUAUGGAGAGGCUGGUGUGCGUUAGGCGGCGGCCGAGUGGAGGAGCGCCGGCCGCCGGGGCGGCGAGCCGCUCCGAAGGAUGGGAGCGGAGGUGCCUGAUAGUAGCGCCUGCAAUUUUUUAAUGAUCCAUGAUGAGACUGUGUAUCCGUAUGUUCGACGAAGCAUUGUACGCAGACGCGCGUGCAAUAUUCCUUUGCGGCGUUCAGUCCUACGAAAUUGCUAAUUGCACACAUAGCUCGGGAUUAAAUUAAUCAUAACCAUUAGAUAUUAUUCAGAGGGGCUAAUCUGACGAUGAAAGUUAGGUUGGGUACAUCUACCGGGUGACUUUAAAAAAGUUUCAGUUUGCUUGUUUAAUAAUAGGACAUGACAUUUGGACUUAUAAUUUUCUUUCCGUUUUUGCCUUAGACCUCUUAACAAAAUGAUUGUGUGCAUCAAAUGAUGUAAAGACGGUGGUAUUACUCCUUUAAAAAUAAAAACACACGCACACACCAUGAAAAAUAUAAGAGCGUGCGCGCGACACCUAGGCUGUCACAGAUGAUCCCGCAUCCCUGAUGCGAGCACUUGCUAGGUUGUGUGUGUUUAAAAACCUCUAGUAUUCUAAUCCUCUGCGUUUGCAUAUAGUAGCGCAAAGGAACCUGCCCCUCUUCCCUCUCUCUUACGCCUGUGUUUUGUGCUACUAGCUAGCAGCUCAGCUCAUCGCGGGACAUGAAGAAGGAUGAAGAAGAUGCCAAUGCCACCAUCCCCUUCAAGUCCCCGCCGUCUCCUCUCCGCCAUGGCUGGCCUCUCCGCAUGCCGCGGACACCGCUCCGGUGACCUCUUCGUCUUCGUCUCCGUCGUCAUCUCGGUUCUUCCGCAGGGCAAAGGCAUGGAGGCAGCCGUGCAAGCUUAGCACAGAAAAAUGGUGGAGAGUUGUGUAUUGGCAUGCGGGAAAGCCAGGCAAUUUUUUUCCCUCCGUUCCGACUUGUUUCCGCUUUCCUCUCCUUGCUAAUUGCUGUCCUUGUUCUUGCUGCUCGCUCUAGGUCGCUUCGACCUUCAGACUAUUUGUAUCUCCUUUUGUUGCGAAUUUUAAGGCCAUUCCAUCCAUCGAUGUUACUAUAUAUCAUCGAGAACGAUAUGGCCAUUCAGAUUCUAUACAAUCAUGUGUAGUUAAGUUCAUCCUUGCAGCGUGCGUGGAGACAAAUCAGGUGUCCAGUGCUAGCAUGCAUGUUGCAGAUACCAUCCUUGCAUUUGCAUUUGCGAUUUAAUCUUGGUGGAUUAAAGACGAGCGAUACGCGAGAGGCGAGACAGUGAAUCAUGCCUCUCGAUCUUGCCUGUUAGUAUAUCUAUUCUAUAUUAUUUGGAGCAGAAUGCCAAUGCAGAUGCUAUUUCGUAUACUGUCGAUUGUACUGUACCUGUUUCUCCAUUUCAUUUCAUCUCGAUUAAUUGCGAGUAAUCAUACAGGAUCUGUAGAGCAGUGAUGAAUAGAUUUGCUUUACAGUGUAAACUGGAGAUGUUCGUCCUUGCAGGAAUCAUUGAGCAACCAUUAUGCACGUAGUAGCUUUUGUCUUUUAGGUGCCUUUUCUUUCUUUAGCGUGUAGGCUUGAGGCUCUUCACUGCUCAUCAGUGGACCAUCAGCCCCUGCAGCUAGCUGCGGUUGCGCUUUGUUCUCUGCUGCAUGCUGGCGACUCAAGUCACUGGACCUGUAUCUGUAUGAUUGAGCAGGAGGCACUAGUUGUUGAGGACUUGAGAAUAGUUUUCUCUUCAGUAGGAGCCAGCCACCCCAAGUAUCAUUCAUUUGUUGUAGCUGAGAUAAACUUGUUUUCGUUUUUGUCAUCUCUUCGAGUUUUUUAAUAUUAAAACUUUGUCUUUUGUCAUUUUCCAUUUAUGCUGUUUUCUGUAUCAGUAUGAAUGUAUGAUGGUGUUAUAAUGAAUGUAUGAUGGUGUUAUAN
Molecule: long non-coding RNA, 49419 nt
Filed under: Hordeum vulgare
Lineage: Eukaryota; Viridiplantae; Streptophyta; Magnoliopsida; Poales; Poaceae
Description: long non-coding RNA (HVUL_LNC018400)
Source: RNAcentral